Molecule: long non-coding RNA, 45344 nt
Filed under: Vitis vinifera (wine grape)
Lineage: Eukaryota; Viridiplantae; Streptophyta; Magnoliopsida; Vitales; Vitaceae
Description: long non-coding RNA (VVIN_LNC000011)
Source: RNAcentral
GUUAAGCGAAGAAGACUGAUUCGGCUAUGGAUAGCUGAGGGAUUUGUAACAGAGGAGAGAGGCAAGACUCUUGAAGAGGUGGGGGAAGAGUACCUGAAUGAGCUUAUUGGUAGGAGUCUCAUAAAGGCAAAUGAAAUGGACUUUGAUGAAAGACCAAUAACUGUUGGAGUCCAUAGUCUCAUGCAUAGGAUAAUUCUCUCGGUUUCACAAGUGGAGAACUUUUGUACUGUUUGUGCAGGACCAGAAGGAAACUUGGCUGACAAACCCCGACGCCUAUCCAUCCAGACGGGAAACUUUGAUGUGUCUCAGGACUUAACCUGUGUUCGAACUUUUUUCAGUUUCAGUACAGGUAGGGUAAACAUUGGUUCGAAUUUCAAACUAUUGAAGGUUUUGGACAUACAAAGCACUCCUUUGGAAAACUUUCCAAGUGCCAUUACAGAUCUUCUGCUCUUGAGGUACUUGAGUUUGAGGAAUACAAAUAUAAGGAGCAUCCCCAAAUCCCUCAGGAACCUACGGCACCUUGAGACCUUGGAUCUUAAGCAAACUCUGGUAAAAGAGCUACCCAAAGCAGUCCUACAACUUGAUAAACUUCGCCACUUGCUGGUUUAUGCCUACAAUAUGGGAAGUGUUGUAGAGUUUGAUGCCGUUCAAGGGUUCACUGUACCGAGAAAGAUCGGAGCAAUGAAGAAUCUGCAAAAGCUAUCAUUUGUAAAGGCGAAAAGGCAUAACAGAAUGAUACAGGAGCUCAAAAAUCUGACAAAGCUGAGGAAGCUGGGCAUUGUAGAACUAGCAAAAGAAGAUGGCAAUAGCUUGUGCCACUCAAUUGAGAAGAUGCCGGAUCUCCUUUCCUUGGAUGUUACCUCCCUUAGUAAGGGGGAGCCUUUGGAGCUUGAUGCAAUGACCAAUCCCCCGCGUCUUCUUCAACGCCUGUAUCUCAAAGGGCACUUGCAAAGGUUUCCAAAGUGGGUAUCUUCUCUACAUGACCUGGUGAGAAUACGCCUAAAAUGGUCCUUAUUGUCACAAGACAACCCAAUUGAAGCUCUUCAAGAUCUUCCAAACUUGAUGGAGCUGCAGUUACUUGAUGCAUACACUGGAACCCAGUUGGACUUCAACUCGGGAAAAUUUCAGAAGCUUAAGAUAUUAGACCUUGAGCAAUUGAAACAGCUGAGGUUUAUCAUAAUGGAAGAUGACACAUUGCCUUGCCUACAAAAGCUGAUCAUAAGGCAAUGCAAUGAGCUGGAACAUGUCCCCGUAGGCAUUGACGGGCUUCAUCAUCUCAAUGAGCUGCACCUCUGCGAUAUGCCUGAGAAAUUCGUGGCACUGCUGAAGAAAAGAGGCGGUGAACUUCGCCAUUUGCUUCACCGUAUUUUGCGUAUUCUCUCAUAUCAACAGGGCCAGUUGGUGGAAGAUCUUUCAUGACCAUAAAUGCUACAUCUGUGACAUGCACCAGUGGAACAAGAAUCAAGGUUUGUAUAACUACAUGGAUUCAUCGCUUGCUUCUUUUGGAUUCCUCAAAAUGCAUUGUCGUCAAUUCCUUUACUAGCAAUAUUACUGCAUGUUCCUAGGAAAUCAUGGUGGGAUAUCUAGCAUUUAUACAUAUCAAACAUCGAAUAUCUGUGGAGUCAUAUUUGAAACUGCCAUUGUUGAAACUACGCCGAGACUCGGUACAAGACAGUCGGAUUAUGGUUAGGUGUCAAGCCCCUGAGCCUUCCAAUUGAUUUUUAUUAUUCUUGUAUUGAUAAUAGUAUGAAGUUAGAAUCAAUUUUAUUAUAUUUCGCUUAAAACGUCGGAAUCAGUUUCACAUUAAGCUUGUAGGAUAGCGAACAAAUUGAAUAUCAAUUUACUAUAAAAAUCUUCUCUUUUUUUUUUUCAAUUUUUUUAUUUAUUUUAUACUUGUGUCUGGUUUGGUUAACAAAUAAUGACAUUAUGCCCACUUGUGAAUUUUUAAUAUUAUGUUUUUAUGAUUAUUUUAGAUGAUAUUAAAUAUAAUAGUGAUUUGCUUUAAUUGUUGGUUUGUUGAAUGCAUUCUUAUCCAAUUGUUUUUAUUUAUUUUCUCUAAAAUUUUUAUUACUUUAAAAUUGUUCUAUACUUUUUAAUUAAUUAAGCAGUUUAUUCUGCAUAUAGUCUGGUUUAAUCGAAUAAAAUACGAUGACGAAGUCCUCUAAGAAUCUUCUAUAAAAGUCAACUCUGCCCAAUCAAUUCUUUCACAGGGGAACAAUGGUUUAUUAAUGUGCAACUAGCGUUUUUAUAAAUAAAAUAUUCUUAAUUUCCUCUAAAUAUCAGAUUAGUGUUAGACAAAACCAAUAAUAAUAUUUUUAUUGGGAUUUUUCAAUGGCAUUAUAAAGUCACCAAUCAAUUAAUAAAAAAUGGUCAUUGAAGUCACCGUGAUUUAUUGAUUUAUUUAUUUUUACCUGGACAAUGAUCUUAAUUAUUGUUUUUUCUGUAUUAUUUAAGUAUCAAGUUUUUAACAAAAGAAACCCAAGGUUAUGGAUGGGCAUUUCUCAAUACUAGAGGUACUAGUUUUUUUAGGGAAAAAUAGGUAUAAAAAAAAUUUAAUAUUUGCUAAAUUUUGGAAAAGUUGAAUAAUAUUGAGAUUAGUACCUUGAAAAGUUAAAAUUAUUCAAACACAAAAUAAAGAAUAAAAAGUAUAUUAAUAAUUUGUUUAGUAAAUUUUAACAUUUCUUUUACUUGAAAUUUUUUUAAAAAAAAAUUCUAUAUAGGGCAUAUAAUUAGGAUUAGGUUUAUUAAUAAAUGAAAUGUUUUUCUUAGCUGACAAUGCAAUCAUGUUGACCCAUAAAUUUGCAUUAGAUUUAUGAGAAAACUUUGAAUUUCUUUAUUUUCUUUUACAUGGCACAAAGGUUUAUAUAGAUUGUCUUGAAGUAGCAGUAAAGUGAUCCUUUAAGUACCACAAAUACUUGUGAUUUGGAAAUAAUCAAAGUCUUCCCAAUUGGGACGACCCUAGGUUCCAAUACAUUAGCAUUGAUUUCUUUGAGUUGUAUAUGAUGCUUCUUUUCAUGUUAUUUACGACAUUGACUACUAGAAUCUCUUGCAGAUGCAAGUGGCAUUCAUUAAAAGUUAAGACCACUGCUUUCAAGGGUCCUAUGUCCAGCUUCCGAGCAACAACAAUACGAGAAUGGGAAUGGUAAUGGGGUGGAAUUUUCUUGAUGGGACAAAUUUGGGAUAAAUAUGAAUGAGUUCAACCAACAAAUUUGAGAUUUUUUGUUUUUUUUUUGAACCCAAAGUGGGUUUGGGUAUGAUGUUGUCCCAUCCCAUAUGUAAUAUUAAAUAAAAAUGAUUUUAAUACAUUUUUGACUUUUUUUAACAUAUAUCAAAUAUUUUUUUUUAUAAAGAUAAAUUAUACAUAUUUAUAAUAUUUAUUUAUUUGUAAAUUAUAUUUAUUUUUAAUACAAUUUAAAAGUAAAAAAAUUAAGAAAAAAUAAAAAAUAGACAGACAAGGUGAAUAUGAGAAUUUUCCUACAUCUGUUCUACCUAUUUAUUUAUUUUUUUCAUGAAAAUGAGAAUAAAUAUAAAUAAAUUGGACGAUAUUAAAAUAUGGGUGACCAUCUCAAACUUGCCCGUUACCAACCAUAACCGAGAAGAUUGGGUCAAUGUGGAUUUUUAAGCUCCUUUUUUGGUUUGGGUUUGCAAAAAAAGACCCAACCAUUUAUUCGUUUGGCCAUAUGAAGUUGAUGAAUGCAACACCUUAACUCGGAACAUGACAUCCAUCAAACUUAGGCAAUCUCUCGCGUAAAUUUUAAGAAAUCACAAUAACUAGGAAUUUUCAACUAUGAAAUUUCCAAAAGAUAGCAUCAUUUUACAUUGUUCUAAGGCCAGUGCCAAAGGGUUCAUGUAGAAUUUUCAAAAUGUUUUUGUCCUGAGAAAAUACAUUUUGGAUAUGUUUCGUACCCAGUAAAUUCCAGGAUGCACAUAAUGGAAAUAAAAUUGAAAAAAAGAAAAAAAAAAGUAAAGAAAAAUAAAAUAUAGAUUUAAGAUCAAUAAAUUAUGUUAUAUAUUUCUUCAAACUAAUUUCACUUAUUUUCCUUAUUAUCUAAAGAUUAAAUAAUUUUAAAAUACAUAAAUCUUUUAUUAACUUUCAUUAUAUUUGAUUUUUUUUUAUAUUUUUUAUAAUAAAAUUAAACAUGAGAAAAUUAGUUUUAUUAACAUUUUUUUUUCUUUUACUUUCCUAGAACCGAACAUAGUACUAAGAAGCUAUAGCUAGAAAUGCCAUGAUACCAUUUUCUUGAAAACUUCCAUAUAAUUAAUAUGUACAUGUAGAUUACCUACAAUUUUCAAAUAGACAAGUACUUGUGUGUUUCAGUUUCCAAAACUUUUAUUAGGAACUCAACUUAAGACUUUACUGAAUUCAUGGGAUUGUCAGAUUUAGUAUAGGAAGAAAUUUUCCAUUGUUGACUAUAAUCUAUAUAUGGUGACCAUGUGACAUUAAUAUAUUUAUUUAGAUAUAUAAAAAAAUAUUUGAUUAAAAGACUUAAAAUACUCUUUGUAAAACCAAGGUUUGGUUAAUCUUGAUUUUGAUGAUAAAAAUAAAAAAUAAAAUUAGAAUUCAUGAUUAUAUUUCAACUGUCACUAGACAAGAUGAUUUCUAGAGUGACAAUCACAAAAAUAAAAUUAAGUCAAAGAGAAAUCAAUAAAAAGAAGAAAACCUCAAAAAGAAAUGUUUUUCAAGACCUAAGCUCCAUAGGAUAUCUUUGUAAGGUUGUUGGUGCACCAAGUUUUUCAUGCAUUACAUUCUUUACUUAUGCACCAAAAUCAUUUAAGAAUUAUUUUGUUUUAAAUAUUUUAAAAUAAGAUGAUUUCAUGUUUUCAACUAAAACUUUGUGUCAAAUACUUUCCAAACUUGUUUAAAAUAGUUUUAAGUUAAAAAGAUGGUUAUUGAACCAAAAACGACUCAAUUGGUUGAGAAAUUUGCUCAAUCGGUUGAACAUAUUGAGGAACCAAUCAACCUGUUCAACUUAACUGGUUGAAGGGUGUAAAAAAACUCUUUCUCUUCCAGAACACUUAUUCGAUCGAUCGAUCGAGGUUGGACCUCAUCCGAUUGACCAAUUCAGCUCAAUCAGUUGAAAGGUGUAAAAAUCUUCUUUCUAUUCCAAAAUACUUCUUUGACUAGUUGAGGUUGGACUUCAUCUGGUCAAGUACUAGUUGAGGAGCGGUUGAGGUUCAACAGUCACCUGUCAUGCAUUAAAUGUUAAUGGCUAGUGAACCAGUCGAAUUGGAGCUCGAUCGGAUGAACUCGCAAUGACUAGUUAGACUUAUCUCCUCUAUAAAAAGGUUCCAAUCUUUAUUGUUUCAAGAGUUUAAUCUUCGUAACCCUUUCUUGAAUAUAUUUGAGCAUUGAAAGUGUGUUUUUUAGUGCACCAUUGUUCUAAAACUUGCAAUCAUUAAUGCACCAGUCAAUCCUAAUUUAUCUUGUAUCAUUUGAACCUAAAGUUUUGUACUAGAUUUUGUGAGAUUAUUUCUUAUCUUCAUUUGUAAAUCUUUGAGAGAAAUAAUCUAAGUGUGAGGUAUCAUUUAGGGAUAUUUAAGUGUGGGGUAUCACUUAGAAAUUCUUAAGUUUGGGGUAUUAUUUGAGGGAUUGUUCAAAAGUGAUCUAUCUCUUAAGGAUUUUAAAGGAUGAACCUAAAGUUCUGUACUAUAUUUUGUGAGAUUAUUUCUUAUCUUUAUUUGUAAAUCUUUGAGAGGAAAAAUCUAAGUGUGAGGUAUCAUUCAGGGAUAUUUAAGUGUGGGGUAUCACUUAGAGAUUCUUAAGUGUGAGAUAUCACUUAAGGGGUUGUUCAAAAGUGAUGCAUCUCUUAAGGAUUGUAAAGGAUGCUUAGAGCCAAAAGUUCAAGAGGGUGAAUUGGAACCAUAAUCCAAUUAUAUUGCUUGAAUGCUUGGUUUGAAAGCCUUGAAUUAGUAGAAUUUCAAACUUGUGAUUGAAACUGGAGGAGAGUGGACAGAGGCUAGGUUGCGUUGAACCAUUAUAAAAAUCUUGUAUUUGCAUUCUCUCUUAUAUUCUCUUUUAAUUUAUAUGCAAUUGUUUUUAUAUUAUUUAUUAUAUAAAUUACAUAUAAUUAUCUCUUAAAUUUACAUAAUUUAAAUUUACAAAAAGAGACCAUCACCCUAUUCACCAUUUUUAGAGUGGUUACCUUAGGUUGGAUUAACUUUUUUUUUUUUUUUAAUACUUUUGAAAUUGGAAAAAUGACGUUCUUUACUCAUUCCUUGAAAAAUAAAAAAAUGAUUCAUUUUGGAUGUUAUUCUUCUUUUUUAUUUUCUUAAAAAUGCCAUUUUCUUCUAUUUCCUAAUUUAUUUAUUUAGUUUUCACAUUUAGGAUACCAAGCUCUCUUUCUCCCUCUAAGUUUAUGCUUUCCAAUUUUUCAUUGAAUUUUUUUAGUGAAGUUCAAAUCCUUAACAAAGAUUAAUGGAUAAUGAUCGGUUGUAGUCCUCUCAUCUUUCUUUUUUCUUCAAGAUUCUUUAUAUUUUCCAUUUUCUCUUUAUUUCUUGUUGGAAUUUUUUAUUAGAGGGUUUUUUUUGAAAUUGUUAUUUUUAAAAUUUUUUGUAGUUGUUUUUUUGCAGGUUUUUUUUUCUUUUUGGUUAACGGUUUUUUGUUGAGGGUUUUUUAUUAGGGCUUCUUACAAUUUCAUUUACACUUCUACAUUGUUUUUGCUUAGGGUUUCUUGGUAGUUAUUUUCUAUUGAAAUUUUGGUUGGGGUCCGUUGCCAUUGUUUUUCAUUAGAGUUUUUUUUAUAGUUGUUUUAUCGAGUUUUAUUUUUUAUUUAUUUUUUUGCAUUUUCACUAAGUCUUAUAAUAAUACCCUCUAUUUUGUCCUUUUGGCACAUGAUACUCAAGUUAGCCAUCAUUCAUCCUUUAUUACUUGUUUGUGCACUUCACGGUCUUUUUUCAAGCUAUUUUUGAGCUCUCAUUGAUGGUCUACUGUGACUAUGUUUAUCACUAGUUUUUUGUAUUUUCUAUAAGAAACAUUUUGGAGGGAUUAGGUGGACCUUAACCUUGAUUUUAGUGACCAUUAAUUCUUAGUUUGUGAUUUUGUUUUUGGUUAAUUUAUAAUAUAUUUAGGCUUUUUUAAAACCUUUAAUGUCACUAGAUAAAUUCAUAAUUUGGAUUGACUAAUAAUAGAUUUCAUUUUUAAAAAAAAAUGUAUAAUGAAGGUCAACAUUGAAUUAAGAAAAAGUUUUUAUUUAUUUAUGAAUUUGAUUUAAUUUGAUCUAAUUAUUUUUGUUUGCAUUUUUUAUUUUUUAUUUUUAUAAAUUAUAGAACUUUAGAUAUCAAUCGUGAUUAUGAAAUAGGUAAAUUGAAAAUUGAUAUAUUAUGGCCACUGAACAUAGGCCCUAAGAUUUUUCAUGCUAUAAUAAUAUUUCUUUUAAUAUCUCAUAAAUCGUAAAUUAAAAUGAAAAUAAAAUUAAGAUUGGAGUUUAUUGAAGACAUCAAAUUCAUGCUUUAAAAUAUAUAUUAAAAUGGGUCGUUUCUUUUAAUAAUAAUCAUACUAAAACAUUUUUUUUUUUUUUUUGCUUUAAUGUCUUACAAGCCACCAACGGCCAACCAGCUGUACCCAACCUUACCAACCGUGAGCCUAGCCUUUUUCAACCUAUAAAACCUAGCCCUUUGUAGCAUUGGGCCAAAAUGACCCAUGUAUUAAAAAAAAAAAAUUAGAUGUAACCAUUUUAUGAAAUUUAUAUUCAAACUAACAUCUUUGAUGCCACGAGGACUCAUGUCAUAAAAAUAUUUUUUUUUUCAAAAUUUUAAUUAAAACCUCAAUUGGUAAUUGAGGUUUCAUUUUUGAACUGAAGUCGCAAUUACUAACUGAGACUUCAGUUAUUGAACUAAAGUCACAAUUGUCAAUUGAGGUUUUAGUUAAAAAAUAAAGUUUCAAUUGACAAUUGAACUAAAGCCUCAAUUGACAACUAAAACUUCAUUUUUUUUAACUAAAACCUCAAUUGUCAACUAAGCCUUAGUUAAUUUUUUUUAACUUUAAAAUUUAGUUAAAAAUUAUUAAAUUAUAGUUUAUUAUUAAAAUUAGAAAUAUAUAUUUUAAUAAUAAAUUAUUUAUAUUUAAGCUUAAAAAUCUAAUAUUACUUCAACAAAUAUAAAUUGAUAGAUAAAAGAUAUUAUAAAUGAAUAUUUUAUUUAUUAAUAAAUUAAUAAUAUUAAAAUAAUAAAUUUAUAUAACAUAUAAAUAAGAUAUAAAAUUGUAUAAUUUAUUAAUUUAAGAUUUUUUUUUAAAGAUAUUAAUGUAUUUGUAUUAUGUUAAAUUUAUCCAUAUGUUCUCUCAUUAUGAAAGCAUAUGAGGUCAUAUAUGUUUUUUUUUUUUCAGCAUAUAAAUGUUUAAUGGGUAUUUUUUGUGACUUUGAUAAAACAACUAAAAAUUAUAUUUUGUAGUAGACUUUUUUUAACUAAUUUUGUCAAAAAAUCUAUAUAUAAAAAUUUAAGAGUAUACUGUUAUUUCAAUAAAGAUAAAUUUCUUAUAAUACAAAUAAAUCAAUGUCUUAAAAAACAACAAAUUAAAUAUCUUAAAUUAAUAAAUUAUAAAAUUUUAUAUCUUAUUUGUAUGUCAUAUAAUUUUAUUAUUUUAAAAUUAUUAAUUUAUUGAUAAAUAAAAUAUUUAUUUAUUGUAUUAUAUUUAUCAAUUUAUGUUUAUUGAAGUAAUACUAGAUUUUUAAGUUUAAAUAUAAAUAAUUUAUUAUUAAAUUAUAUAUUUUUAAUUUCAAUAAUAAGUUAUAAUUUAAUAGUUUUUAAUUAAAUUUAAAAGUUAAAAAAAAAUAUUAACUGAAGCCUCAAUUGGCAAAUACACCUUAGAAGUAUACUAUUAUUUAGAUAAAAAUAAAUUUGUCAUAAUACAAAUAAAUUAAUAUCUUAAAAAAUAACAAAUUAAAUAUCUUAAAUUAAUAAAUUAUACAAUUUUAUACCUUAUUUAUAUGUUAUAUAUAUAAAUUUAUUAUUUUAAAAUUAUUAAUAAAUAAAAUAUUCAUUUAUAAUAUCUUCUAUUUAUUAAUUUAUGUUUGUUGAAGUAAUAUUAGAUUCUUAAGUUUAAAUAUAAAUAAUUUAUUAUUAAAUUAUAGAUUUUUAAUUUCAAUAAUAAAUUAUAAUUUAGUAGUUUUUAAUUAAAUUUAAAGUAAAAAAAAAAUUAAAUGAAACCUGAAUUGGUAAUUGAAGUUUUAGUUCAAAAAUGAAGUUUCAGUUACCAAUUGAGAUUUCAGUUAAAAAUAAAGUUUCAAAUUGCGGUUUUAGUUCAAAAACUAAAGCCUCAAUUGAUAAUUACGGUUUUAGUUUAAAAAAGAAAUCUCCUCAAUUAUCAAUCUAGGUUUUUAUUAAAAGUUAAAAAAUAUAUAUAUUUAUAUGACAUGAAACUAAAGAUGCUAGUUCGAAUAUAAGCUGGAUAAAGUGGUUAGAUGUAAUAUAUUUUUUUUAAUAAAUGGGACAUUUUGACCCAAAACUCUUGAGCUGCAACCAGCCAUACCAAAGACACCCUGCACUAGCCGUCCGUAAUCCUCUACUGCAGCUUCGUUUUAGCUGCCCGAGGCGUCUCAAAUCAGCCCCAUCAAGUUGUCCACUCUCCCUGCUAUGAGCUUGGAAAUAAUCCAAGUCUUCCCAACCGGGAAGACUCUAGCUAGCUUCCAAUACGAAGACUCUAGCUAGCUUCCAAUACAUCAAUACUGAUUUUCUUGAGCUGCAUGUGAUGGUUCUUUUCAUAUUAUUAAUUAACGCCAUUGACUGGUCAUCUUCCCUGACAAUUCAUCAGUUAAAAUCACUGGUUUCAAGGGUACACCCAGCCACCAAUGCAAUAGCAAUACGGAGAAGACUGGGUCCAUGUGAGUAAUUGAUAGGCUUUUUUUUUUUUUUUGGUUUUGGUACGCAGAAAAAGAGGAGUUUUGGGUCAAAAUGCCGUAUAUUAAAAAAAAAAAAUAUUACAUCUAAUUAUUUUAUGAAACUUAUGUUCAAAUGCUUUGUAGGAAUCAUGUCAUAAAUUUUUUUUUUUUUAAAUUUUAGUAAAAGUCUCAAUUAAUAAUUAGGGUUUCAAUUUUGAAUUGAAAUUGUAAUUGUCAGUUGAGGCUUUGGUUUUUGAACUAAAGCUAUAGUUGUUAACUGAGACUUCAUUUUUUAACUGAAACCUCACUUGACAAAUACUUUAUUUUUAAACUAAAGCCUUAAUUGACAAUUAAGACUUUUUAUUUUAUUUUAAAAUUUAGGUAAAAGCUAUUAAAUUAUAGUUUAUUAUUGAAAUUAGAAAUAUAUAUUUUAAUAAUAAAUUAUUUAUAUUUAAGCUUAAGAAUCUAGCAUUAUUUUAAUAAACAUAAAUUGAUAGAUAGAAGAUAUUAUAAAUGAAUAUUUUAUUUAUUAAUAAAUUAAUAAUAUUAAAAUAAUAAAUUUAUAUAACAUAUAAAUAAGAUAUAAAAUUGUAUAAUUUAUUAAUUUAAGAUAUUAAUUUGUUGUUUUUUUAAAGAUAUUAAUUUAUUUGUAUUAUGUCAAAUUUAUUCAUAGGUUCUCUCCUUGUGGAGGCAUAUUAUGUUAUAUAUGUUUUUUUUUUAGCAUAUAAAUGUUUAGUGAAUAUUUUUUAUGACUUUGAAAAAACUACUAAAAAUCAUAUUUUUUAGUAGACUUUUUCUAACUAAUUUUGUCAAAAAGUCUAUAUAUAGAAACUUAAGAGUAUACUAUUAUUUCAAUAAAGAUAAAUUUUUCAUAAUACAAAUAAAUUAUUAUCUUAAAAAACAACAAAUUAAAUAUCUUAAAUUAAUAAAUUUUAAAAUUUUAUAUCUUAUUUGUAUGUCAUAUAAAUUUAUCAUUUUAAGAUUAUUAAUUUAUUGGUAAAUAAAAUAUUCAUUUAUUGUAUUGUAUUUAUCAAUUUAUGUUUAUUGAAAUAAUACUAGAUUUUUAAGUUUAAAUAUAAAUAAUUUAUUAUUAAAAUAUAUAUUUUUAAUUUCAAUAAUAAGUUGUAAUUUAAUAGUUUUUAAUUAAAUUUGAAAGUAAAAAAAAAGCCUCAGUUAACAACUACGGCUUAGGAGUAUACUAUUAUUUCGAUAAAGAUAAAUUUAUCAUAAUACAAAUAAAUUAAUACCUUAAAAAAUAACAAAUUAAAUAUCUUAAAUUAAUAAAUUAUAUAAUUUUAUAUAUUAUUUAUGUGUUAUAUAAAUUUAUUAUUUUAAAAUUAUUAAUUUAUUAAUAAAUAAAAUAUUUAUUUAUAAUAUCUUUUAUUUAUCAAUUUAUGUUUGUUGAAGUAAUACUAGAUUCUUAAGUUUAAAUAUAAAUAAUUUAUUAUUAAAGCAUAGAUUUUUAAUUUCAAUAAUAAAUUAUAAAUUAAUAGUUUUUAAUUAAAUUUUAAAAAAAAAAAAUUGAAGCCUCAGUUGAUAAUUGAGACUUUAAUUCAAAAAUAAAGGCUUCAGUUAAAAAAUAAAGUCUCAAUUGAUUAUUUCGAUUUUAGUUUAAAAACUAAACCUCAAUUGAUAUUUACGGUUUUAAUUUAAAAAUGAAACAUCAGUUACUAAUUGAGACUUUCAUUAAAAUUUUGAAAAAAAAUAUAAUUCUAUGAUACUACUUCUACGUGACAUCAAAAAAGUUGUUUGAAAAUAAAGUGGUUAAAUCUAUUUUAUUUUUUAUCCUGGGCCAUUUUGACCCAAAACUCGAAAAAGAGAGUCGGCAAUUUAUUUGUAUGGCCCACACGAAAUUGAUGAAUCCAUCGCCUUAGAAAUAUGACAUCCAUCAAACUCAGGCAAUCUCCACCGCAUGAAUUUUAAAAGCCACAGCAAUUGGGGAUAUUCUACCGUGGAAGAUGGCAUCAUUUUACAUUCUACUGAGGCCAAUAUCUAUGCUUCGUGGUUCUCUGGAACCAAUCAUGUAUUGCCUUGAACCCUUGAGAGAGAACAUGUGAUAUGCCCACGUCUUUUUAUUUACGCACAUUCCUACUACUUUUCUUUGUUUUUAUUGUAUAAGGUUGGAGGGUGGUCUAUGUAUUGACUCGGUAUGUAUGCUUGACUACAAACUCGAUGGUAGUUCAUAUGAGUGGAUCCUAAUAUUGUUGCAGCAAUUUGCCGAUUUCAGAGAAAAGAGAGAGAGAGAUAAUGGUCGACCCAGAAAUAACUGGAGGGAUUGCAGCGAGUACUUUGAGCUUUCUUCUAGUAAAACUCGAUGCUUUUGCAAUUAGAGAAUGGAAAUUGCAGGAAAAUAUCAAAAAGUCUGUCCAAAAUUUAGGAUGCGAGCUGAGGAACAUUCAGGCCAUGCUGAGAGAUGCUGAUUCAAAGGAAGAGCAUAGUCACCAAUUUACGGUCUGGAUUAAAGAGGUCCGCGAUCAAGCUUAUGCAAUCGAGGAUGCUCUUGACCUGUUCAAACUCAAACAAGAAUCAGUGUGGCGCCGCCUGAAACUGCGUCACUCCAUCAACGACUUGAUACAGGAUAUUGAGCGGAGUCUCCAAAACAUUCAGCGGACAAAGGAGAGGUAUCGCAGCAUGGCCUCCUAUUCAACCAAUGCUGGCAACAACACAUACCUUCAUGUGAGAGUGGCUCCUUUGUUCAUAGGUAACGUUGAUACCGUGGGCAUUGAGGAGCCUACAAAUAAGCUGGUUUCCUGGGCCUUGGAACCGAAACAGAGGCUUGAGGUGAUGUUUGUGGUGGGGAUGGCUGGACUGGGGAAGACCACUCUUGUCCACAGCGUGUAUGAGAGCGUGAAACAGAACUUUGAUUGCCAUAUCUGGAUCACUGCUUCAAAGUCCAAAACCAAACUCGAUAUCUUACGGACCUUGUUGGUGGAGAAAUUCGGCUGUACAAUCACACAGGGGGGCGAUGUGGUUGCUCUGACGCAUAAGCUGAGAAAAUUUCUCCACAACAAACGGUAUGUCAUAGUUCUUGAUGACUUAUGGGUAAAAGAUGUUUGGGAGUCCAUUAGACUUGCCUUGCCAAAUGGUAAGGACAGUAGAAUAAUUAUCACUACAAGGAGAGGCGAUAUAGCUAAUUCUUGGAGAGAUGAUGAUUCUGUUGAUAUCCACAUGCUUCAGCCACUGUCACCGGAAAGGGCUGAGAAACUCUUCUAUAAGAAAGCUUUCUCAAGAAAUGGCAGAUGUCCUUCAGGCUUGGAGGAAGUCUCGAAAUCCAUCUUACAGAAAUGUGAUGGAUUACCACUUGGGAUUAUUGAAAUCGGUAGACUUUUAUCCAUCAAGGCUCCAACUAAAAAUGAGUGGAAAAUAUUACAUGAUAGCCUUGAGUCUGAAUUGAGAGGCAGUGGUGGCCUUUCAAAUAUUACGAAAGUGCUGUCUGCAAGUUAUAAUGAUUUACCUUUCCAUCUCAAGUAUUGUUUCUUGUACAUGAGCAUCUUUCCUGAGACUAGCCCAGUUAAGCGAAGAAGGCUAAUUCGGCUAUGGAUAGCUGAAGGGUUUGUAAUAGAGAAAGGAGGCAAGACAUCUGAAGAGGUUGGGGAAGAGUAUCUGAAUGAGCUGAUUGACAGGAGUCUGAUAAAGGUAAAUGAAAUGGAUUUUGAAGGAAGGCCAAAAAGUGUGGGAGUUCAUAGUCUGAUGCUGAAGAUGAUUCUCUCAGGUGGUGUUUGUUUUUUUGGCUUUUUGCUGAAAACCAUUUAGUUUUAGAAUUUAGGUUGUUUGUUUUUUUACUUUUUCAUGACUUAUUAUAAACUUUUUACUAAAUAGAAAAAGCUAAAAUAUGUGGCUUUUUCUAAAUAGAAAAAAUAACACAAUGAUUUUUUUUACUUUUUAAUACUUAAUAGAAAUAAAAUACUACAAAAACAAACAACCUAAUAUUUAAGACUAUUAAGUAUUAAGGUUCUAUUUAGAAUUAAGUAAAAAAACAAACACCACCUCAGUCUCACGAGAGGAGAACUUUUGUUCUGUUUGUACAGGAUCAGAAAGGAACUUGAGUGAGAAAACCCGGCGCCUAUCUAUUCAGAAGGAAGAUUUUGAUGUGUCUCAGGACUUACCCUGUGUUCGAACCUUCUUCAGUUUCGGUAUAGGCAAAGUAAAGAUUGGUUCCAACUUCAAACUAUUGAAGGUCUUGGACAUACAGGGCACUCCUUUGGAAGAAUUUCCGGGUGUAAUUAAAGAUCUUCUGCUCUUGAGGUACUUGAGUUUGAGGAAUACAAAUAUAAGGAGCAUUCCAGGGACCCUGGGUGACCUUCAUCACCUUGAGACCUUGGAUCUUAAGCAGACUCUGGUAACAAAAGUACCCAAAGCAGUCCUACAACUUGAGAAACUUCGCCAUUUGCUGGUUUAUCGCUACAAUAUGGAAAGUGCCCUACCUUUUGAUAUUGUGCAGGGGUUCAAGGCACCAAAGAGGAUCGGCGCAUUGAAGAACCUACAAAAGCUGUCAUUUGUAAAGGUGAGUGGGCAGCACAGAAUGAGUCGGGAGCACAGAAUGAUACAAGGGCUCGACAAUCUUACGCAGUUGAGGAAGCUGGGCAUUGUAGAACUAGCAAAAGAACGUGGGGCGAGCUUGUGCCUCUCAAUUGAAAAGAUGCCAAAUCUCCACUCCUUGAAUGUAACCUCUCUUAAUAAGGAGGAGCCUCUGGAGCUUGAUGCAAUGACCAAUCCACCGCCCCUUCUUCAACGCUUGUACCUCAAAGGGCCCUUGAAUAGGUUUCCACAGUGGGCAACUUCUCUACAUGACCUGGAGAGAAUACGCCUAAAAUGGUCUUCACUCACAGAAAACCCGAUUGCAGCUCUUCAAAACCUCCCAAAUCUGACAGAGUUGCAGUUGCUUGAUGCAUAUACUGGAACCCAGUUGGACUUCAACUCCGGAAAAUUUCCGAAGCUGAAGAUAUUAGACCUUCAGCAAUUGGAACAGGUGAGGUCUAUCAUGAUGGAAGAAGGCACAUUGCCUUGCCUACAGAAGCUGAUCAUAAGCCACUGCAGCAGGCUGGUGCAGGUCCCUAGAGGUAUUGACAAGCUCAUUCACCUCCAAAUGCUGCUGUUGUACGAUAUGCCCGGAACAUUUGUGACCGGGCUGAGGAAAAACGGUGGUCAAUUUCGCCGUUUGGUUCACCAUAUUCCAUGUAUUCAUUCAUAUAACCAGGCCCAGUUGGAAGAUCUUUCUUGAUCAUUAUACAUCUACGAGGAAGAAUCAGGUCUGUAGAACAACCUGAAUUCAUCGUUUCCUUCUUCUAGAUUCCCCAAAACGUACUGUUGGAUUGCUAUUUCUUUUCUAGGAUUACUGCAUUUUCCUAGGAAACUAUGUAUGGUGCAAUUGAGUAUGAAAUUAUGUCCUCAAUCAAAGGUAUCAUUUUACUAUUAUUUUACAAAGGUAUCAUUUUAUUUAUACGAUGAAGACAUUUGAUUAUACAUAUUUACUUUUUUCUAAAAUUUUAUUUAUUUUUAGUGUUUUUUUAUUUUUUAUUUUUAGCUUUCCAAGUAAUAUGCUCAGCAUAAAAUUCCAUAUUGAUCUAAAAUGAGCCUGAUGGGUCUAUAUAAAGAUCUCUCAUGUAAAAGAUCAAUUUACAAGGAAUACUGGUUAUGUUUGAAAGUAGUUUUAUAUUCUUUAAAAAUAUAAAACAGUUUUUUUAACUUAAAAAACGCUUUCAUCUUGAUUUGAUAUAGCAUGAUGGGUUUAUCUAAAGAUCUUUCGAGUCAAACAUCAAUUAGAAGGAAUAUCGGUCAUGUUUGAAAAUAGUUUUAUAUUCUUUUAAGAAGAUAAGUUAAACAGUUUUUUAACCUAAAAACUAUGAUUGAAAAUUUUCAGGAAUUUGUAGAGUUUGUUUAAAAAAUAAUUUGUUUUUUUUAUAUCUUUAAGAAUUCUUUUCAAAAAAAAAAAUCUCUAAAUCUUAAAACAUCCCUCUAGCUUAAAGAUGACUUUUAGAAAAUUUUACAACUUUUCCUAAUAAAGUCUAGUUCAGAACAUCCAGAAGAGUUAUAUGUAUUCUUCAUAAUCAAAAGAUGUCCGAGAAUCACUUUUAAUAUAAAAAACGUUUUUCUAAAAAAAUAAAAUGUUUCACAAAAUUCAAAAAUCAUUUUUAAAAAAUUGAAGAAUUGUUUAGAGUGUUUUUUUUUUUAAAUUUUUUAUAAAUGUUUAAUAAGUGAUUCUCCUAAAAACUCUUUAAAAAAAACAUUUAAGUAAAAAUUCUUCUGAUAAAAAUAUUAUCAAACAUACUCUAAUUCCUUAUGCUUGAAGCUUCCAAUGCAAUUCAUUGAAAGUAUUUUCCAUAUGACUUCUCCACAAAAUAUUUCUUUAAACUUAAAACUAAAAGUCAUAUUUUUAAAAAAAGAAAAAUAAAUUCUUGACAUGUAUAGGAUAUGAGAUUUUUGUUCUAACACUAGGUUAAAGUUAAGAAUGCAAAAAAAAAAACCUGACCAUUAAGUCAAAUUUAAAUCUUGAUUAAAAAAAAACCAUUAAAAUAAAUUUGCUCUACUUUGUCUCCACCCUCUUACAUUUCUUCCACCCUCUCCCCCAUCCUAUAGAUGUACCACUGUAGUAUUUUUGGAGAGGUUAACUUGCAAAGUAAGGAAAGCUUUUUUUUAAAGGACACUUCUCCACUUGUUUGUCCAAUCGGGAUAGAAACAUAAAAUUUGCUACCAAUGAUGAAGAAAAGUAAACAGAGUGUAAGAAAACAUUUCAUGUUUAAUCUAAAAAUUACAAUCCCAACAAAAAUAUAAAAAAUCAUGUCAAUCUGGUCAAUGGAAAAGGAAACAUAGAAGAACUUAUGAUGAUUCAGUUCUUCUAUAUGAUUCAGUUCUUCUAUGUUCUGCGUGUUAGUAUUGAUGUGAAUGACACGUCUAUAAAAUCUUAGCUACUUUAUAGAGAGAUUUGUUUAUACUAUCAUUUCAAUUUUUUAUUUUUGCAUAUUACAUUUUAUUGGGUAUUGAGUAUUGUUGUGAUGUUAUAGUAUUAGCAAUAUGUUAUUAUUUCAUAAUUAUACUUUUCUAUUUUGAAUAGUUUUAUAUUAAUUUAGCUUCAAUUUUUAUGAUAAUGGAGAUGAAGAAUAAUGAACAAUAUUAAAGAGAAUAUUAGCAACAUCCAACUAUAAGAACUAACUUGAGCAUUACAAGCAUUGUCCCCACUUGUCUUCACCUUUUAAAAAAGGUUAGAUUUUCAAGAAUCUCAACCCAAUAAUUAUGUUUUUUAGGUUGGGUAGCAAAAGUCAUACGGAGAGAGAAAAGUGAUAAAAAAAAGUUCACCAAUCAAAUGGAAAUAGAUUGUUAUUAUUACUGGAUUAACUUGGUCAUUAGAUUUAAAAUAGUACAUAAUAUCAUUGUGGAAUUUGCAUGCUUGGAAGGAAGAAGUCUUGUUCUUUCCAAAGGAAUUAAUGGGAGACAGGGCAAAAUGCCUGUAAGGAAAUGAUAGUAACUUUUGAAAAAGUGGGCUAUAAAGUAAAGGAGAAUUGUGAAAAAUUAAUAUUUGGUCCAUAUAAUUUUCAUAAUUGAUAGAAAUGAUAUAAGAUGUUAAAAGACCAACAUAUCUUUCAAAUUUCUAUACAUUACCUUUUUAAUUUCUAAAGUUUUACUAAAAAAUUGUACUGACAAUUUUCUUGUUAUGAAUUAAAAUACUUUGCAUUAGUCUAUCUGGAUAAGAAAAAUUAUUAAUAUAAUAUUAAAACUUCAUAUCUUAGUUAUUUUUUUCAAUAAAUUUAUCUUUUUGGAUAUAUAUAUAUAUAAUAGAGUAAAGUGAUAGUCAAUUUUAAAAUUUUUAAAAAUAUGGUUAAUGUAGAAAAUAUAAAAAAUAUUUCAAUGAAAAAUCCCAAAAUUUUUAUCAUUGCUUAUAAUAAGAGCAAAAAGAUUCAAUAUCUUUAAAAAUGAAAAACAAAAAAAACAUUAUUACUUUUUAUUUGACAUAAAAUAGAAAUAUAGAUUGGAAGAAAAAAAAAUUAGAAAUGAGUAAUACUUAAUAGAGAAUAGAAAAGGGAAAAAAAAACACAAAAAAAUUGAAAUUCAGACUUACUUGUACCUAUAUAAGGGUUAAGGGUAUUUUAGGGAUUAAUGAAGAAUAAUAUCUUUUAUCUUAAUUUUCAUACUUUGUUUGGGUCUUGGGCUUAAAUAUGCAUGAUAUAUGGACCAAAUGUUAAUUUUUGGGCCCAACUGGACCCAAAACACAAUUCUCCCAUAAAGUAACGUGAAUUUGAAAUAAUUGAUUUGGAAUCCUAUCACCUAGAAAAUGAUUACUCCUUGGGUUAUAAAUUAAAAUGAAUUUGAAAAAAUUCAUUGGAUUCUCAUUACUUUUUUAAAAGGCUGAAUUUGAGUUGACCCAAAAUAAUUUACUUCCAUCAAAAGUAAAUUAUAAGAAUAAAGGCAAGAAAAAAGAAAAUUGGUAUGCACCAUUUAUCUUUUUACUUUGGAUUGGAUAAAUUUUGUAAAAUCAUAUUUUCCUUUUACUAUAUUUUGUAAUGUUAAUAGCAACUAACUUUCAAAAUAAUGGAAAUUAAUUUGUAUAUAAGCUUAUUUGAGUACUUCCAUAUUUUUUUUAUAAUUGAGAAUUUUUUAAAGAUUUUUUUUAAGUAUUAGCUUUUAUAUUUAUUAUUAUUAUUUUUCAUAAAAUAAUAAAUUGUAAGAAAAGAGGAGAAGAACAAGAAGGAAAAUUUAUAAUUUUUUAAUUUAUUUAGAUAUUUAUAAAAAAUAAGAAAAAGAAAAUUAAAUUGUUGAAGCUUCCCAAGCUUUUUGACUGUUAUCUAACAAAUAAUAAUAAUAAUAAUAAUAAGGAACUUCCUUAAAGCAAUGUUAUCAAAAAAUAGAAUCACAUUAGUUAAGCUCAUUUUUUUCUAAUAUAAUAAUAGCAAUUAUAGUUACUUUUUUUUUUUUUUAUUCAACUUAUUUUAAAUAGGGCGUGUGCUUAUGCAAUUAUAUUUAUUUAUUUUUCUAGAAAGAUUAAUAUAUUUAUUUAUUUGUUUAUUGUGGUUAUCUCAAAAUGAUGUCUUAUUUUCUAUUUAAAUAUUGGUAUAUAUGAAAGAUAAAGUUUAAGUAUUCAUUAAUUACGAAUUCAAUUCAACUUACUCCAAUCCAAAUUUUACCCAUAUAACCCAAAAAGCUUGUCUAAUAUGUUAGACCCGUCCAAAUUAUAGUCUUAAUUUUAAAGUCAUAUUGAUUGGUUCAUCCGUUUAUAAAAACAUAGUUAAAUAAAAUUACUUGAAAAUGAAAUUAGUAUUUAGGGCAUUGUAUCAUAAACUUGUACAAAAAAUCCUUCUGAGAAUUAGAUUUUGGUACAGUUAGAUUUUGAAGAGUUUCAAGCCAAUCAAUUUUUUUACUUUUUAUUUUUGAAAGUAGGGUAGAUUGGAAUUUUGUUAUUUUUCAUUAAAAAAACUAAAAAGGCAAAGUGAAUGCAAUACAUUAAAAAAAAAAAAAAAACUUAAUCCUAAUUAUGAAAUCUAAACCUAAUAUUUAUUUAUUUGAAAUGGGUUAGGCGUUGGUGAAUAAUUGAACAUCAUGUGAAGGUUUUUAAUUCAACAUGUAGUGAUAUUGUCAUUUGCCCCCUUCUUUUCUAACAAAAUAAUUUGAUGGAGUUUAAUCCCGAUUAUGCUCGUUAGUAAUCUUAUAAUAUCUCAUAUUUGUGAUCAAAACAUAAAUAUUCAUAUUCAAAGUUUGUAUGAUACGAGAAAAUGAGAAGAAUUAUGGAGACAUGUUUUAAAGUUAGGAACCAAAAAAGAGUAAUUUGAAUUUGUAUUCUUGCUUUUCGUAAUAAUCAAUCCAUGCAUUGAACUCAUGUGUUCAAGAUUAAACUAAUCUAACCCUAUGUCCAAUCCAAACUAUCCGAUCCAAGCUCAACUUCUUAUCAUUCCCAUGACACUCAAAAGCAACAAUAUCAUAUACAAAUAAAUUGAAAUUUAUGUAAAAUAUAUAUCACGUUCAAAUUGGCCUUAGGUUGUCCAAAACCCAAACCCAAAGCCCAGUUUAAUUUAAUUAGAGCAAUAAUAAAAUAAUUCCAAUAAUUACAAUUAAUUUAUAGCAAUUAAAUAAAAAUUUCACAGGAGUAAAAAUUAUUUCCAAUAAAUAUAUUAUAAAGUCAUGUAAAAGUUGCUAGUUACCCCUCUAGUAAAAAGUAUACAUUUAUUUAUCCCACUUUAAAAAAAAUGAUAGUAGUGAAAUCCAUGAACAAAAUUUAAUUAUCAUAUUCUUAAAAAGCACCCAAGAUCCCAAACCAUGAAUUAUAUUUAGGGAUGAUAAUAGGGUGGGUUUAAGACGAGUCGCCCCAUCCCAACCCCGUCCCAUUUAUUUAAAAUAAUUUUCAUCCCCGUCUCAUUUAAAAAAUUAAAUUGGACAGGGCGGGCCGGGAUGGGUAUAAGCAACUCCCUGCCCCGCCUUCGUUUAAUUUUUUUUUUUAAAUUACUUUUAAUAUUUUAAUUACAUUAAAGUAAAUAUAUUUUAUAAAUAAUUAAAUUAUUACAUUUUUUAUGACUUAUUUUAUUAAAAAAUACUUUAUUAUUAUCUAUAGUAGAAUAAAAAUUAAUUUAAUUUAAUUUUAAAAAAUAAUUUUAUAUACAAUUGUAGGGUGGGAUUGGACAAGGCAAUACCUGAACUCAUCCCAAACUCAUCUUGGGUUUAAAAAAAAAAUUUCAAAUCCGUUUAGUUAAAAUUCAAACAUGUUCCAUUAGGGGCAGGAUGGGUACUCGAAAAACCCGUCCCAUUGUCAUUCCUAAUUAUAUUACACCUCUGUGAUCAAAUAAAUAAAAAGAUACGUUUAAUCACAUAUUUAAUUAAUUUUUUAAAAAUAAAAGAAGUUGGGUCGUUGGACCAAAGCACAAAAGUGAGAAGCGCAUAUCUGAGCCCAUUAAAUUUGGGCUUUAACAUUGCCAGUAUGUUAGCCUACAACAAAUUCAAACUCCAAACUCCAAACUCCACCGUCAGAUCCCCAGGCACCAUCUAUGCGUAUCUCUCCCUCUAAACAAUCUCCUCCAUUUUCACGCCAUGCAUAAAGCAACAAUCCCGAGAGAAAAUAGUCUCUCAUUGCUAUAUAUAUUGUCGGAGACUGAUUUUCUUGCCUAAUUUGGAUUUUAAAAUUUCAUGCAUCUCAUUUUGAUCACAAACCUGAGAAAAGCCCCAUAUAAAAAUAACACAAGUAUUACAAAAUAAAUAAGUAUUAAAAAAAAAAAAAGAAUUAUGAACAAAUCUCAAUAUCAAAUAUGAACAACAAACACUAGAUUUAGUGGUUCACAAUAAUUUUAGGUAUGUACGUCAACAUAAGAACGAUAAAGUACAACAAACUAGAGGAGUAGAAUAGAAUACUCAUUUUUCAUCCAAAAUGAUUCCAUCAAAGUAACAAAUUAUGCCAACCUUAUCAUUGAAGAAACCUAAAAGAACAAGUACUAGAAAGGUUGUGAGGAGAUUUGAGCAAUAAUUGUAGUGAACGAAAGUUGAUACUAGAUUUGAAUUCUACUUCUAUUUAAAAGCUAAAUGCACUUCCAUGGCAUGCAAAGAGAUUCCAAAAGCUUUAAAUAAACUGAAUGGUUCUUUGAAGCAUGAUUGAAGCUUCUAAAAGUGUCAAAAAUAGAGAUUCACAAAGAAUUUUGAAUUCAUUCUUCCUUUCUUAAUCAAACCCUCUCUAGGUCCAUAAGUUGUACUAAAGAGCUUUUGAAUGUCAACAAUGAAUGACAAGGUUAUGAAAUAUGAGGUUAUCUUCCACUAAAAAUCAUUCCAAGGAUAGUUUGAUUAAACUUGAUCCACACCUAUAAUGCCCCUAUAAAAAAAAAAAAAAAAUAGAAUUGAGUCAGUUUAAGAAUGAUAGCUCCUAUAUUGACAUGUAAACGGUACCAUAAAAACACUCGUAACACACCUUUCAUGCACAUCUUGAACAUGUAGAUCAAUCAUCCAAGAUUGGCUUCUCCCACUAUUUCAAACUAUUGAAGGUUUUGGACAUACAAAGCACUCCUUUAGGAAACUUUACAAGUGCCAUCAUAGAUCUUCUGCUCUUGAGAUACUUGAGUUUGAGGAAUACAAAUAUAAGGAGCAUCCCCAAAUCCCUCAGGAACCUACGGCACCUUGAGACCUUGGAUCUUAAGCAAACUCUGGUAAAAGAGCUACCCAAAGCAGUCUACAACUUGAUAAACUUCGCCACUUGCUGGUUUAUGCCUACAAUAUGGGAAGUGUUGUAACUUUUGACGCCGUUUAAGGGUUCGCUGUACCGAGAAAGAUCGGAGCAAUGAAGAACCUGCAAAAGCUAUCAUUUGUAAAGGCGAGAAGGCAGAACAGAAUGAUACAGGAGCUCAAAAAUCUGACAAAGCUGAGGAAGCUGGGCAUUGUAGAACUAGCAGAAGAAGAUGGCAACAGCUUGUGUCACUCAAUUGAGAAGAUGCCGGAUCUCCUUUCCUUGGAUGUUACCUCCCUUAGUAAGGGGGAGCCUCUGGAGCUUGAUCCAAUGGCCAACCCCCGCGUCUUCUUCAACGCCUGUAUCUCAAAGGGCACUUGCAAAGGUUGCAAAGUGGGUAUCUUCUCUUCAUGACCUGGUGAGAAUACGCCUAAAAUGGUCCUUAUUGUCCCAAGACAACCCAAUUGAAGCUCCUCAAGAUCUCCCAAACCUGAUGGAGCUGCAGUUACUUGAUGCAUACACUGGAACCCAGUUGGACUUCAACUCGGGAAAAUUUCAGAAGCUUAAGAUAUUAGACCUUGAGCAAUUGAAACAGCUGAGGUUUAUCAUAAUGGAAGAUGGCACAUUGCCUUGCCUACAAAAGCUGAUCAUAAGGCAAUGCAAUGAGCUGAAACAUGUCCCCGUAGGUAUUGACGGGCUCCAUCAUCUUAAUGAGCUGCACCUCUGCGAUAUGCCUGAGAAAUUCGUGGCCCAGCUGAAGAAAAGAGGCGGUGAACUUCGCCAUUUGCUUCACCGUUGUUUGCAUAUUCUCUCAUAUCAACAGGGCCGGUUGGUGGAAGAUCUUUCAUGACCAUAUCUGAUACAUCUGUGACAUGCACCAGUGGAUCAAGAAUCAGGUUUGUAUAACUACAUGGAUUCAUCGCUUGCUUCUUUUGGGUUCCUCAAAAUGCAUUGUUGUCAAUUACUUUACAAGCAAUAUUACUGCAUGUUCCUAGGAAAUCAUGGUGGGAUAUCUAGCAUUUAUACAUAUCAAGCAUCAAAUAUCUGUGGAGUCGUAUUUGAAACUGCCAUUGUUGAAACUACCCCGAGACUCGGUACAAGACAUAGUCGGAUUAUGGUCAGGUGUCAAGCCCCCGAGACUUCCAAUUGAUUUUUAUGCUUCUUGUAUUAAUAAUAGUGUUGGAUUGUAAGGACUGAAUUGUUUUUAUUGUGUUUGGCUUAAAAUGUCGGGAUCAAGUUCCACGUUAAGCUUGUGGGGAUAGCCAUGGACGUAGAAAACGAAUUGAUUAUCAAACCACUCUAAAAAUCUCCUCCUUCUUUUUUAUUUUAUUUUAUUUUUAUUUUUAUUUUUAUUUUCUAUUUGUGUAUGGUUUAAUUAAUUAACAAAUAAUGGCCCUAUGCCUACGUGAAAUUGACUUGUGAAUUUUUAAUAUUAUGUUUUUAUGAUUAUUUUAGAUGAUACUAAAUAUAAUAGUGAUUUGCUUUAAUUUUUAGUUUGUUGAAUGCAUUCUCAUCCAAUUGUAUUUAUAUAUUUUCUCUAAAAUUUUUAUUAUUUUAAAAUUAUUCUAUACUUUUUUAAUUAAUCAAGCAGUUUAUUGUGCCUACAGUCUGGUCUAAUUGAAUAAAAUAUGAUUUAUUAAUGUCAACUCAGCCCAAUCAAUUCUUUCACAGAGGAACAAUGGUUUAUUAAUGUGCAAAUUAAUAGCGUUUUAUAAAUAAAAUAUUCUUAAUUUCCUCUACAAAAACAAAUUAGUGUUAAAUAAACCGAUAAUAAUAUUUUUAUUGGGAUUUUUCAAUGGCAUUAUAAAGUCACCAAUCAAUUAAUAAAAAAUGGUCAUUGAAGUCACCAUGAUUUAUUUAUUUAUUUAUUUUUACCUCGAUAAUGAUCUUAAUUAUCGUUUUUUCUGGAUUAUUUGAGUAUUAAAUUUUUUACAAAAGUAACUUUUAAUCUUUUUUUUUACUUGAAAAUUUUUAUUAAAAAAAAUUCUAUAUAGGGCAUAUAAUUAAGAUUAGGUUUAUUAAUAAAUGAAAUGUUUUUCUUAGCUGCAAUCAUGUUGACCCAUAAAUUUGUAUGAGAAAAUUUGAAUUUCUUUAUUUUCUUUUACAUGACCCAAAGGUUAAUAUAAAUUGUCUUGAAGUAGCAGUAAAGUGAUCAUUUUAAGUACCACAAAUACUUGUGAUUUGGAAAUAAUCAAAGUCUUCCCAAUGGGGACGACCCUAGGUUCCAAUACAUUAGCACUGAUUUCUUUGAGUUGUAUAUGAUGCUUCUUUUCAUGUUAUUUACGACAUUGACUACGGGAAUCCCUUGCACACGCAAGUGGCAUUCAUUAAAAGUUAAGACCACUACUUUCAAGGUCCUAUGUCCAGCUUCUGAGUAACAACAGUAUGAUUGAGUUCAACAACAAAUUUGAGAAUUUUUUUUUUAACCCAAAGUGGGUUUGGGUACAAUGUUGUCCCAUCGAAAUGAUAAAAAUAUCGAUAAUAACGGAUAUAUUAGUAUUUCGAUUUUAUAGAUAUAUUGAAGAUAUAUGUUGGAUAUUUAAAAAAAAAAUAUCGAUAGACUUAAAAUUGAUCAAAAUUCAUAAAAAUGUUAAAAAAAAUCACGUAUAAAUAUAAUUAAAAGUAUAACAAACAUUUUAAAAUUAUUUUAUUGAAAAAUUUAAUUUAUGUAUAAUAUGAUUUGUCAUAUUUGAUAAUAAUAUCAUAUGCGUCGAUAAAAAAAUAUGAAUUUUAUAAGUGUACAUUUAUUAUUAAAUUGCAUAAAAUAUUAUUGCAUAAUAAUAUUAUGAUAUUUGAUUAUAAUAUAUUUAAUUUUAAAAUAUAUUUAAUAUUAAAAUUGUGAUCCAUUUAAUUCAAUUAUAUUAAAUAAUAUAAAAUAAAUGAUGAUAUAUAUACCGUUGUGAUAUUUAAUAAUAAUUUUUAUAACUUGAAAACAUACUUUAUGUAUAUUAAUCUAAUUUGGAUGUAUUUAAUGACAAAAAAAUAAUGAUAAUUUGUAUAAGUAUUUUUUAUUUUAAAAUUUUGACAAUUUUAUUCAAAAAUAUAUAUUUAUUUUAUAUGUAAUUAUUAUAUAAAAGUCACAAUAACUAAAAUUAAUUCAUUUAGAAUAUUUUUUUUAUUAAUUUAUAAUAUAUAUGUAUAUAUUAUAAAUUAAUCUUGAAAGAUGGUUGUCCGGCAGGUGUUGGUGCCUUGGUGGGCGAUCUAUAUAAAUAAUAUGUAAAUUUAAUCAACAACAGCAUGGUUGCCUGGCUGGUGUUGGUGGGCGAGCGUGAGCCUGAGGGUCGUUCGAAUAUCCUUGGUUCCAUUCUUCUUGAUUUACCUUUGCCUUUCAAAAAUUCUAAUUCUUGCAAUCCCACAUCGGUUCAUGACACCAAAAAGGUGUAUUUAAACAUUGGAGUGGUGGAGGUCUCACUUGUGUUCAGAGCACGUUGGGCCCAAGCUGCAUUUUGGGCCUAAACAUUGGGCCAGGGCCAAAAUUAAGAGUUUUAGGGGCAAAAGGAAUUGAGAAUGAUGACGUGGCAGCGAUAUCGUGAAAAUAUCGAGAAAAAUGGCGAUUUUAAUGGAAAUAUCGCCGAUAUUUCCUCUAUAAGGUUAUAUUUAAUAUUAAAUAAAAAUGAUUUUAAUUAAUUUUUGACUUUUUUUAACAUAUAUAAAAUAUUAUUUUUUUAUAAAAAUAAAUUAUAAAUAUUUAUAAUAUUUAUUUAUUUGUAAACUAUAUUUAUUUUUAAUACAAUUUAAAAGUAAAAAAUUAAAAAAUAAAUAAAUAAACAGAUAUGGUGAAUAUGAUAAUCGUUGAUUUUCAUGAUUCUUAGUAAAAAUAAAAGAAAAUAAAAACGAAAAAAAGAAGAAGAAAAACAUAUAGAUUUAAUGUGUUCAAUAGAUUACGUACACGGAAUAGGGAAUAAAACUUUCAUUAUCUUUGAAAUUAGGGUUAUAUAUUAAAAUUUUAUUAUUAUCAUUAUCAUUUAUAUUUUAUUUUAUUUUUAAAUAAAUUUAUAUUUUUAAUAUUUUAAAAUAAAAACAUUCAAAUUAAAAAGAUAAAUAUAAAAAAUUUAAAAGUGAAGUAGUAAUUUUUUAGAAUGGAAUUAAUGAAAUAGAUUAUGAUUUUUUUAAUAUUUAUAUUUUUUAUAUUUAAUUAUCAUAUAAAUAAUAUAAAAAAGACUUAUUAAAAAAUUAUAAUAUUAAAAUUUUAUAUUUUUAUUAAUCAAUUAAAUAUAAUUUAAAAUAAAAUAAUUAAAAUUAAGUUUUUUUAAUGAUGAAGCUUAACAAAUUUAAAUUGAAUAUAUAUUAUCAAAGAGCAUCAUAAUGGUAAAUAUUCGAUAUUUCCCAUAGUGAUUUAAUCCAAAUAAAGAAGGAUAAUUAAUAAUUAUUUAUAUAGAGAGAGGAAAAUUGUUUCAUGAUUUGUUUUUUUUUUUUUUAUCUCUACUAAAUAUAAAAAUCAACCCAAUUCUCUCACUCGGGAAGGCCCUAUUUUCCUCUGCCACUGUCAAUCCUCGCAGGUACUAAUCUAAUCAUGUUAUUAUUAUUAUUAUUAUUAUUAUUAUUAUUAUUAUUUUUGCAACCCCGUUUGAUCCCCAAGAAAAUCCAUCCCCCAUUCGAUUUCCGGGAAAAUUCAUCCUCGUUUGAUUUCCGAGAAAAUCCAUGCAAAACCCCCCAAAGAAAUCCAAAAAAAUUGCUUUUUCUUUGCUCCCUGUGUUUUCUGGAUCUGUUCUAGGGGUCUCUUUGCUUUUGUGCCAUUGGAUUUAAAUUUCACGAAGCCUAAAUCCACGAUUUUUGAGCCAGACUGAAAAAAACAACCUUUGCCUGCAAAUCCACGAUUUAAGAGUUAUAUUUAGUAUUUUUGCAGUCAGUGAAUGUGCCGCCACAUGUUUGAAUGAUUGGAACUUCAAAAACCAGUAACUUGUUUUUGCCAAAGCAAAGGAUUGAAUAUUUCCUUGGUGGAUUUUUGGGAACUGAUCAUGCACCCACAAGAAAUCUCCAUCAAGCAUGAAGUUGUCUUAUUCGAAGGUUGACCCUUGGUGCAUGGGGUCAUUCAAUAAGGUUAAUAAAUUGUCUGGAGGGAGCAGUAAAUGAUAACAUAUAGCCGUGUGCUUGGAAAUAUUCGAAGUCUUCCCAAUGGGGAAGACUCUAGGAUCCAAUACAAUCCUGGUUUUCUUGAUUUAUAUCUAAUGCUUGUGGUUGUAUUAUUUGUGUCAUUGACUCCUGAAGUCUUUUGGAAGUAUACUUGGAUGUGGCAUUCAUCAGUAGUUAAAAUCAUUGUUUUCAGGGCCCCUACGCCAAGCUCCCAAGCAACAGCAAGGUGAAGAGAAAGAGCAUGAACCCAGAUCUAGCUGGAGGGAUGGCAGACGGGGCUGUGUCGUUUCUUCUUCAAAAACUUGAAGCUUUUGCAAGUACAGAAUGGAACUUGCAGGAAAAUAUCAGGAAUGGAGUCCGUGAGUUACAAAGGGAGCUGUGGAGAAUAGAAGCCAUGAUGAGAGAUGCUGAUGCAAAGAAAGAUUAUGAUAACCAAUUCAACGUGUGGAUUCAAGAAGUUCGCACAGAAGCUUAUGCCAUUGAGGAUGUUCUUGACCUGUUCAGACUCCACUGGGAUCAAGAAUCAGUGUGGCGCCACUUGAAAAUGUGGCACUCCAUUAGCAACCUGAUACAGGAUAUUAACACAAGGCUCGCGAUCAUUAAGCAGACAAAGGAGAGGUACCAGAUCAUUAAGGAGAUAAAUGAGAGGUAUCCGAUGAUGGUCCCCACCAAUUCAGUUAGUUCGGAAACCAACACAUACCAUAAUGUGAGAGCAGCUCCUUUGAUCCUCGGCUGGGGCAAUAACACCAUGGGCAUUGAUGAGCCUAAAAGGAAGCUGGUUUCUUGGGCAUCAAAGUCGAAUCAGAAACUCAAGGUUAUGUUCCUAGUGGGGAUGGCUGGGUUGGGCAAGACAACGCUUGCCUACCGCGUGUACGAGGAGGUGAAGGAGCACUUUGAUUGCCAUGCCUGGAUCAUUGCUUCAAAGUACCAAACCAUAGAUGAAACCUUACGGAGCUUGUUGGAGGAACUUGGCUCUUCAACAGAGGGGUCCGGCAUAGUUCUUCUCAUGCAGAGACUGCACAAUUUUCUCCAGCACAAACGGUAUGUUAUAGUUGUUGACAAUUUAUUGGUAAAAGAUGUGUGGGAAUCCAUUAGACUUGCCUUGCCAGAUGGUAACGACAAUAGAAUAAUUAUCACUACAAGAAGAGGCGAUAUAGCUAAUUCUUGCAGAGAUGAUUCUAUUGAUAUCCACAAGGUUCAGCCACUGUCACUGCAAUGGGCUGAGCAACUCUUCUAUAAGAAAGCUUUCUUAGGAGAUGGCAGCUGUCCUUCAGGCUUGGAGGAAGUCUCGAAAUCCAUCUUACAGAAAUGUGAUGGAUUACCACUUGGGAUUAUUGAAAUCGGUAGGGUCUUGCGGAGUAAGCCUCGUCAAACUAAAUACGAGUGGAAAAAAUUACAUGAUAGCCUUGAGUCUGAAUUGAGAAGCGGUGGUGCCCUUUCAGAUAUUAUGAGAGUGUUUUCUGCAAGUUACAAGGAUUUACCUUACCAUCUCAAGUAUUGCUUCUUAUACAUGAGUAUUUUUCCUGAGAAUAAUCCAGUUAAGCGAAGAAGACUGAUUCGGCUAUGGAUAGCUGAGGGAUUUGUAACAGAGGAGAGAGGCAAGACUCUUGAAGAGGUGGGGGAAGAGUACCUGAAUGAGCUUAUUGGCAGGAGUCUGAUAAAGGCAAAUGAAAUGGACUUUGAUGGAAGGCCAAUAACUGUUGGAGUCCAUAGUCUCAUGCAUAGGAUAAUUCUCUCAGUUUCACAAGAGGAGAACUUCUGUACUGUUUGUGCAGGACCAGAAGGAAACUUGACUGACAAACCCCGGCGCCUAUCCAUCCAGACGGGAAACUUUGAUGUGUCUCAGGACUUAACCUGUGUUCGAACUUUUUUCAGUUUCAGUACAGGUAGGAUAAACAUUGGUUCGAAUUUCAAACUAUUGAAGGUUUUGGACAUACAAAGCACUCCUUUGGGAAACUUUCCAAGUGCCAUUACAGAUCUUGUGCUCUUGAGGUACUUGAGUUUGAGGAAUACAAAUAUAAGGAGCAUCCCCAAAUCCCUCAGGAACCUACGGCACCUUGAGACCUUGGAUCUUAAGCAGACUUUGGUAACAAAGGUACCCAAAGCAGUCCUACAAUUGGAGAAACUUCGCCAUCUGCUGGUUUAUUGCUACAAUAUGGAAAGUGCACCUUUUGAUAUUGUUCAGGGGUUCAAGGCACCAAAGGGGAUCGACGCAUUGAAGAACCUACAAAAGCUAUCAUUUGUAAAGGCGAGUGGGCAGCACAGAAUGAUACAAGGGCUCGACAAUCUUACGCAGUUGAGGAAGCUGGGCAUUGUAGAACUAGCAGAAGAACAUGGGGCGAGUUUGUGCCUCUCAAUUGAAAAGAUGCCAAAUCUCCACUCCUUGAAUGUAACCUCCCUUAAUAAGGAGGAGCUUCUGGAGCUUGAUGCAAUGACCAAUCCACCGCCCCUUCUUCAACGCUUGUACCUCAGAGGGCCGUUGGAAAGGUUUCCACGGUGGGUAUCUUCUCUACAUGACCUGGAGAGAAUACGCCUAAAAUGGUCUUCACUCACAGAAAACCCGAUUGGAGCUCUUCAAAACCUCCCAAAUCUGACAGAGUUGCAGUUGCUUGAUGCAUACACUGGAACCCAGUUGGACUUCAACUCGGGAAAAUUUCAGAACCUUAAGAUAUUAGACCUUGAGCAAUUGAAACAACUGAGGUUUAUCAUAAUGGAAGAUGGCACAUUGCCUUGCCUACAAAAGCUGAUCAUAAGGCAAUGCAAUGAGCUGGAACAUGUCCCCGUAGGUAUUGACGGGCUCCAUCAUCUCAAUGAGUUGCACCUCUGCGAUAUGCCUGAGAAAUUGGUGGCCCAGCUGAAGAAAAACGGUGGUCAAUUUCGCCAUUUGGUUCACCAUAUUCCGUAUAUUCAUUCAUAUAACCAGGGCCAGUUGGAAGAUCUUUCUUGAUCAUUAUACAUCUAUGAGGAAGAAUCAGGUCUGUAGAGCAACCUGAAUUCAUCAUUUCCUUCUUCUAGGUUACCCAAAACGUCCUCUUGGAUUGCUAUUUCUUUACUAGGAUUGCUGCAUUUUCCUAGGAAACUAUGUAUGGUGCAGUUGAGUAUGUUUAGUGUUUUUUUAAUUUUUAAUUUUUAGCUUUCCAAGUAAUAUGCUCAGCAUACAAUUCCAUAUUGAUCUAAAAUUAGCAUGAUGGGUCUAUAUGAAGAUAAUUUGCAAGGAAUAUUGGUUGUGUUUGAAAAUAGUUUUAUAUUCUUUACAAAGAUAACAGUUUUUUAACUUAAAAAACGCUUUCAUCUUCAUUGCAUGAUGGGUUUAUCUAAAGAUCUCUCAAGUCAAACAUCAAUUUGCAAGGAAUACCGGUCAUGUUUGAAAAUAGUUUUAUAUUCUUUCAAAAAGAUAAAUUAAACACUGCAAGUUUAAAAAAUAAUUUGUUUUUUAUAUCUUUAAGAAUUAUUUUUGAAAAAAAAAUCUCUAAAUCUUAAAACACCGCUUUAGCUUAAAGAUGACUUUUAGAAAAUUUUACAACUUUUCCUAAUAAAGUUUGGUUUAGUUCCAAGAGUAUAUAUAUAUAUAUAUAUAUAUAUAUAUAUUCUUCAUAAUGCUUUUAGAAAGUAUUUUUAAUAUAAAAAACGUUUUUCUAAAAAAAUUAAAAUGUUUCACGAAAUUCAGAAAUCACUUUUAAAAAAUUAAAGAAUUGCUUAUAGUACUUUUUUUUAUAAAUGUUUCAUAGAUGAUUUUUCUAAAAACUCUUUUGAAAAAAACAUUAAAGUAAAAAUGCUUUUGAUAAAAAUAUUAUCAAACAGCUCUAAUUCCUUAUGCUUGAAGCUUCUAAUGCAACUCAUCGAAAGUAUUUUCCAUCUGACUUCUCUACAAAAUGUUUCUUUAAACUUAAAACUAAAAAUCACAUUUUAAAAAAAAUAAUAAUUUCGUGACAUGUAUAGGAUAUGGGAGUUUUGUUCUAACACUAGGUUAAAGUUAAGAAUGCAAAAAAACCCUAACCACCAAAUCAAAUUUAAAUCUUGAUUAAAAAAAAAAACCCUUAAAAUAAAUUUGCUCUACUCUGUCUCCUCCCUCUUACAUUUCUGGCUCCGCCAUUGUUCCACCCUCUCCCUCAUCCUAUAGAUGUACCACUGUAGUAUCUUUGGCAGAGGCUAACUUGAAAAGUAAGAGAGAAGGCUUUUUUUUAAAGGACACUUCUCCACUUGUUUGCCCAAUCAGAAUUUGGUUCUCAUAUCAUUUUUACACAAAUAGUCGUUCCGAGAUUAAAUUUUUCUCAUCUCUUCCUAAUAUCUUUCCAUAAACUCACCCCAAGAGUCUCUGUCACCUCUAGAGUACUCCACCCCCAUCCAUCUCCCCAAAAUUUACCUUGGAUGAUCUUCUUCCACAAACUAUCAUGCUUAUGAGCAAACCUCAACCACCAUUCCUAAUAAGGCCUGGCUUCUAAUUUGGAUCCUCCAAACUUCUCAUCCUUACAAACCAUCAUCUGGCUCAUUAAAAGUACUUUCUGAAGUCCUCCAUAAAAGCCUCUUUGAAUUUUUCAUUCUAAUUAUCACUUGCCAAAGCAUUGGAAAUAGGUCAUGAAAUAUAUUGAAAAACCCAAGAGGGUACCCUUUAUAAGGAUUAAUCUUCCCACCCCACCUAGGUAAAUUUUUUGGGAACUCACCCGUAAGAAAUCUCCAUCAAGCUUGUGCUCGGUGGAAGGUUAAACCUUGGUGCUAGGUGUCUUUCGCUAAGAAAUCGUUUUGAAUAUGUUAGUUUUUAGUUGUAUGGUUAACUAAUGUUGUUCAUUAUUAGGAUAAUUGAAACUGGUAUUCUAUGGAGGGCAUAAAUUAGUAAUAGAUUUAUGAGAAAACUUGGAAUUUCUCUAGUUUCUUUUCUGACAUGCUGCAUGUAAAUGACACAAAGGUUAGCAUAAAUUGCCUUGAGGUAGCAGUCAAGUGAUCCUAUAAGUACCACAAAUACCUGUGAGCUUGGAAAUAAUCGAAGUCUUCCCAAUUGAGAUGACCCUAGGUUCCAAUACAUUAAUACUGAUUUUCUUGAGUUGUGUAUGAUGCUUCUUUUCAUGUUAUUUACGGCAUUGACUCCUGGACUCUCUUGUACAUGCUAGUGGCAUUCAUUAGAAGUUAAGACCACUGUUUUCCAGGGCUUUCGAGCAACAGCAAUAUGGAGGUGGAAUUUUCCUAUGGUACAAGUUUGGAAUAAAUAUCAAUGGGUUCAAGACAAAUUUGAGAAUUUUUUGUGAACCCAAAGCGGGUUUGGAUACGAUGUUGUCCCAUCCCAAAUUAUAUGUAAUAUUAAAUAAAAAUGAUUUUAAUUUAUUUUUAACUUUUUUAACAUAUAUAAAUUUUAUUUUUUUAUAAAAAUAAAUUAUAAAUAUUUAUAAUAUUAAUUUAUUUAUUUGUAAACUAUAUUUAUUUUUAAUAUAAUUUAAAAGUAAAAGUUUUAAAAUUUAUAUGUAAUAUUAAAUAAAAAUGAUUUUAAUUUAUUUUUAACUUUUUUAACAUAUAUAAAUUAUAUUUUUUAUAAAAAUAAAUUAUAAAUAUUUAUAAUAUUAAUUUAUUUAUUUGUAAACUAUAUUUAUUUUUAAUAUAAUUUAAAAGUAAAAGUUUUAAAAAAGAAAUUAAGAAAAGAUAAAUAAAUUGACAAAGUGAAUAUGAAAAUUUCCUAAACGUUAUUUAUUUAUUUAUUUUUCUAUUUUGUGGAGAUGAAAUAUAUAUAAAUAAAUAAGACGAGAUUAGGAUAUGAGUGAACGUCUUAAACCUACCUGUUAUCAUCCAUAACCUAGAAGACUGAGUCCAAUGUUGAUUUUUAAGAUCCGUUUUUGGGUCUGGGUUUGCAGAAAAAACAAAAGACCUAACGAUUUAUUCGUUUGGCCUACAUGAAGUUGAUGAAUGUAACACCUUAACUUGGAACAUGACAGAUCCAUCAAACUCAGUCAAUCUCCACCGUAUAAAUUUUAAAAAAUCACAACAAUUUGGAAUUUUCAACCAUUGAAUUUUCAAAGAUAGAAUAAUUUUAUAUUGUUCCGAGGCCGAUGCUAAAGGGUUACAUAGAACUUUCAAAAUAUCUUUUUUCCCGAGAGAAAAUAUUUUGAAUAUAUUUGGUCCCCAAAACAUUUAAGGGUACUGUGGAUCCCACAUUUCGGCUUAAUGCGUUUCUCACUCGAUGGCGAGCUCGAUUUUUAUUUGAAAAAUUGAUUUUUUAUUGAUUAUUUGAAAAUGACUUGGAGUCGCCACUUAUUUUUGUUUUAUUUUUAAAGAGUAAACAAAAUAAGAAAGAAAAACUCUAAGUGUGACUCCUUAUUUUGGAAAAGACGGUCUAUGAAAAACCGGAUCGAGUUCGGGGGUCAGGUUAUUUAUCGGGAAGGUACGGUAAAGACCGUAGCACCCCUCUAAGUCUUUAAAGUCGGGUCUCUACUAAUGAGAUGAAGCUGACAUGACAAUCAAUGAGAAAAUCAAUGAAUAUUCGAAUCAAUCAUGCACAUAUAAGUAUCAGAAUAUGCAAUAGAGGAUAACCGAAGUGGAAGUGGAUGCGUACCUGAUCAGCAAACGGCAACGCGCUAUCACAAAAUGGGAUUAGUGCAUAGUAAUGAACACAAAGUAUAUCACUCAUAUCACCCAACCAGAUAAAGAAGCACCAAUAUCAUGUAUGACAUUUCAUUCAAUUCCAUUUUUAUUUUAAAGGAAAUUUAUUUGAUGUCGGGCCCCCACCAUAGCCCGUUUUAUUUUGCAUGAACUAAUUCCAUAAAUUCCAUAAUUUGGAAUUACGAAAUUUGAUUCUUGCUUAUUUUUAAAACAUUUUAAAAACAAAACUAAGGAAAAUAUGAAAAUUGCAUGCCAGAGAGAAAAAAGGUAGCAAAAUUUUAUUAAAAAUAGGACUCUUGGUGAUCCUAAAAAUUCUAAGGAUGAAACAUGAGGGAGUUGGGAUUAUUUAAGAAACAUAAAAACCUGAAAAUUAUUUGAAGAAAAAGAUGUUGGAAAGUUAUUUUAAAAAAAACAAAGAUGAGAAAAUGGGAUAAUGGCACGUGGCUCUAAGAUAGCAUGCCAAAGGUGGCCAUGCAAAACUUACCUCUGAGGUUUGACUGGAUGCAGACAUCCCACUGCAGUUACUGCAUCCCGAAGAUAUGACACGUGUCUAAAAUUGAGAGACUCCGCUCCUUUGCUUCCUAACAAAAACUACCUCGAGAUGCAUAUAGACAACCCCAGAGACCAUAUCAUAGUCCACAUGACCUUCUUUGCCUGCUAUCACCUCUACACAUGCCACCUCAUCCUCCUCUGUCUUGUGAGUUAACAUGGAACCUGGAAUCACUUCAUCAAUAGCUCAGACGCCAGCUUUGUUCUGAGCAUGAACUUCAUCUUUUGUUUCUCGAGAACACGCUGAAAUUGCCUUUCCAUGCUUGGAGCAAUGUCUGGAACAAUGUAUUUAUAUCCCAUGGAAUUGCUUAAAAUCAUUCAGCAUUUCCAAGUCAACUAGUCUCAUUGACAGAAGAAGUUGGUGCAGGCUGGAUGUUAAGGAAAUGGUGAUAUGCACCUCAUGAUAAGGCUUAGGAAGAAUGCUGGAGGAUGCACGCACGUGGGAGAAUAUGGGAUGGGUGAGUGGAAAAUGAAUAGUGGAGGAUGAAUGAUGGACUUAAUGGAUAUUGAAGGGUGUAAACCUAGAGAGAGAAGUGGGUUUAUUGACGUAGCUAGGUGAAUGGUGGGGGUAAUAGGAUGCAGAGAUCAAGAAGCAGGAAUAGCUUGAUUUUCUUUGCUGAAGAACCAGUCAACUUGAUGGAGGAGACGAUCCCACAUAAAAAUAAAGGGCAUGAAAUAACCCAGGUGGGUCCACCGUUCUUGAUGAGACGUCAUUGUUGAGCAAAGAUAAAGUGCCUGUCUCACAUGGAGCUCAUGACCACAACCUUCAGCAGCCAAUGAACAUACUCUCCCAAAGCAGGCAGCAUAAAUACUAGCAAUGGUUCAGACCAAUGAUGGAUCCACGUUGUUCCCCUUGAGAAAAUCAAGAACCCUCCAUUUGCAGCCUCCAAUAUGGAACACGUCCGAGUAGAGCUUCCGGAUAUUCAAUCCAGAAAAGUUCUCAAUUGUCAACGCAAACCUGGUCGACAAGGGAUCUUCUACAGUCUGCGCAUCCACUAUACUAGCAGUAUCUGAUCGCGCCACUUCCAUGGGCUGGGGACCGUCGGCGGGGUCGGUGUGCAAAACAAACAUUUCAUUGUCUUCAUCUAAGGGCGGAAGAGUCAUGAGAGUCCUUAGUGGACAGGAAUGGCCGUCUGAUCGGCAUAUUUGAGACAUGAACUAGAGAGAGAGAGAGCCAGGGAGAAGCAGCCUUUGCAACUUAAACACAAAGGAACUAGUGCUAGCAUAAAUGCCAAAAAUUCCAAUAUUGUUGAAGAUAUUAUCGAACCCAGAGAAAGAUUGGAGCUGCUGAUACUCAUUCAAGAUACCGAGAUAUAACCGCGAGUGCAAUCCUAUCCUAUGACUUCCCUUUAGAAUCAUUUCCACGUAAACACCUUGAUUAUAUAUUAAGCUUCCAUCAGGUAAAUGUACCUGAAGUGAUUUUGUAUCUUUUGAAGGCUAGGUACAGCACGUCAUGUCUUGGGGGUGCAUGAAUCAAAUUCUUCCAGGAAGCAUUAGCCGGACCACGUGAAACAUCAAAGGCUGCACAUAACUCCAUCCCAGACAGCUUUGCCUUGCUGCUUGACAUAGGGUCAAACCCACCUCAACGUUCAUGAUCUUAAUGAACUUGAAUGAUUAACAAUCCCAUAUCCCGAAUCUGAGAUUUCUGGACCAGCUGAUCAAGAGCUCGCAGCAUGACUUUCGAUGCAAAUUCAGCAUCACAGUCAUCUCCUCCAUAAAACUCUUGGCAAGUUUUCUGUCAACACGGGUUGGGAGUUUCCCAUCAGCUUGGGGAUUUCCUAGCUGCCCAUAAACAGGACUUCCCAUUGUAACCCGGAAGACCCGUAUCAACAUUUGAUCCCUUGGAAUGCGCACAUGAUCAAAUCUUAAAACUCCAUUGUCCAUGUUGUAAUAUCCUCCAUUUCCAAAUUCAUACCAAUAUCACCGAUAGUUAUGCCCAAAAAAGGUAAAUGAUCAUCCAUACAUAUCACCCUGCAUAUUGCUAAUCUCUGUUCAGUGUAGCGCAGGGCCAACAUAGCCAGCAGUUGCCUGGUAGAGUGCAAGUCCAGGGUAAACAAUGGCUUCUUGGGAACCAAGAUCUUCAUUCACAAGAACCCAAUGACCAUGAAAGUCUCGUACAAUGUAAAGCCUUCUUUAUGAUGGGAAAUAGCAGAACGAUGGAGAGAACGGGCCUCAAUGCAUCUCACUCACGAGUCAUUAUAGCCAAGUGUUGAAGUAGAGCAUGCCCUGAUAGCCAGGGGGGUGAUUUGGACCAGAAAUUCCAACCUAGAUUUCUCCAGGGAAGUGCAGACUGCAGUAUCCUCUCUCCUCUUUCAAAGGUAUCUCUUCUCUCAAAACCCAUAUAAGGCACAGGAUCCAGUAACAGAGGUGGCCUCAACCAUAAAAAAAAAUGCAUGAAAACAGAGCACAAAGGGAAACAAAUAAAAAGGUCAUCAAAGGAAGAUUCACAUCAUGAGUCAUCAGUGAACCUUCCUAUUAGGUGAGGAAAAACAGCAUCAAAUGCAAAUAUUGGUGGGGUUCUCGGGCAUUUCAUAGUCACAAAUAGAAAUAGAACAUAUUAAGAUUGACAAUGCAGGUAUGAAUUCAGGAUUAUAUCUCAACAAGCAACAAGUGGCUUCAUUAUCCACCCCAAGCAAAACAACAAAUAUCCAAAUAUCAACAAGCAAUGCAGAGGGAUAGCAAGGAUCCAAAUCAAACAAUAAACCUAUUGCCUUCAUACCUGAGAAUGUCCUUCUCCAGUGAGGCUCUCUUCUUCUACAAACACCUCAAGUUCCCCUUUAAAAUCAACAAAACUAAUGAGACAGCAGCACCUCUUCUACUCGCCAAACGCACAGCUCUCUUGCCUCAAACUUGCCUCCCCAGCCAAACUUCCCCCCUCUGAAAAUAUCUCUCAGACCUGCAUCCAAAAGCCCCCUCUCUCUCUCAUCCGCUCCUCCUCUCUGCCAGAAAACAGCAGUCCAAAAAAGCACCACUACCUCUCACAGUUUGCUGCUCCUAGCUCCAGGGAUCCUCCCCCUCUCUUGGAAACUUCUUCAAACCUCUUCCCCUCUCCUUGCAGAAACAGCCAAAAGCACCCUCUUCACCUGCAGGAGAAGCUCCCCCUCUAACAGACUCUGAACGCCCCCUGCAUAUCCUCCUCCAGGUGUCGCCUCCUGAUAGCUCUUCAAAAAGCAAUAUCUGAUUCCAUAGCAGCCAAUUAAAGGACGCCAUGUGGUCUCCUGGGGUUGCGACACUUGGCAAAACAAGCUGCAUGAAAAGUGCAUGAAACCGAGUCCCAAAAUGGGGGUCUACAGGUACACAUAGGGAAAAAAAUAUGAAAGAAAGAAAAAGUAAAGAAAAAAAAUAGAUUUAAAAUCAAUAAAUUAUUUUUAUAUAUUUCUUUAAAUUAAUUUUACUAUUUAUUUUCCUAAAUUAAAUCAUUUUAAAAUACAUAAAUUUCUAAUUAAUUUUUAUUAUAUUUGAUUUUCUUUUGUAUAUUCUUUUUAUAGUGAAAUUAAACAUAAGAAAAUCCGUUUUAUUAAUUUUUUUAUCUUUUACUUUCCAAGAACCUAAACUAGUACUAAGAAGCUAUAGCCCAGGUUUGAAAUAUUGCUAAAUACGGAUAUAUUGAUACUUGAAUUUUAUUUUACAGAUGUAGAAGAGAAAUAUCGAUGGAUAUUUUGACAAAAAUAUCGGUAAAAGUAAAAAUUAUUUAAAAUUCAUGAAAAUAUUUGAAAAAACUCUAAUAAAAAUUCAUAUUUUAAAGUUAGUUUUGUAAAUGUAAUUUACAUAGAUACUGUUAUGAAGAAAAAUAUCUAUAUGGAAUGAUAUAUCGGUUUUAAUAUAUAAUUUAUUAUUUAAAAUCAAAGAAUAAGGAAAUAAGAAGGAUAAUACUAUGCACAUACACACAUGUGCUUUUUUUUUUUUUUUUUUUUUACAUAUAUACAAAAUGUACAUGCUCUGAACGCAAACCAAGAAGCCCCAAAGACGAGGUCAAAAAUGGACAAACAUGCUCUCAAACGUCAAUGUAAUAUAAACUCUCUCUGAUGAUGUGACCUUCUCAAACUAAGGAUUCCUGGAUCAACGUCCGUAGGAUAGAUAGUGGAAAAUGACAUGACUACCCUCUAUGUAAUGAACUGAGGAUGAUCACCACUCGAGGUGGGAGAAGAUGAAGUGGAACAAACGAUAGAUAUAAUAAAGAAGCGGAUGAAGAACCAACGAGAUGUGAUGAAAUGCAAUGACGCAAUGAUAGGAAAAGAUAAUGAGAAAGAUGUGCCCCUUGGUCCAAGGUUCAUGAAACUCCUAAACAAUGCAUGCAUACACUGAAGGGCCCCUAUCCCGGUGUAGAAGGUGAGCAAGGCUAUAAGAAAUAAAAGGUUAUGAUGCUCAUGCGAGGCUCAAAGGGCUAGCAAUGGUCUAGAUGUCAAUAAAGGUAAUAGGGUGUGAGUUAACCGAAAUGAAGGUCACCCAUCCUGCGACCACAGUCUCAAACAUCGUGCUAUCAAGCCCUCAAAUGAUCAAUACUAAAGAUCGAUGUCCAUCUGAUAUAACCACGUCAACCCUCUAGAAUCAUGCACCAACCGUACUCCAAAUGCUCCAUAAUAAUCUCAAAGAUGAUCCUCUCAAAGCAAAGUGAACGGUGAUCUCAUCAGGCACGACUGCCUAUCACAAGCCAACCCUCAUCAUACAAGAUCAAUCUCUAUACUCAUGGCAAAAUAAGUGACAGUCUCAUCAAGCAACCGACCAAUCCUCAUAUCGUAAACCAUCCAAAGAUCAUAAGCUAUCCCUCGCCAUGCAAGAACAACCCUGGGCUCAAACUCCUCACACUCUACUUGGUCGGAUCAGAGAGGGGAUGUGCAAAGCUAGAAAAGCCGAGGAUGGAAAGGUCAUAUAAUGGUAUCAAGGGUGAUGUUGUGCAAAGCUCAUAAUGGAUGGAUGUAGGUCAAAACAGAGUCAAGGUGUGGGAAGUGAGCAAGGUACUGCUCUGAUCAUAAGAAGAUGUGUCACAAUCUCGAACUCCCUAAGUCAAAUCUCUGAUCCUAGGCUAAUAGGCUCAAUAUCCUCCAUGACAGGUCAAGCCUCAAGACCACAAUGUGCAAGUGAAGAGAUGCCUCAAGUCAAAAGUACAACACAUCAUAUCACAAAACACAAGCAUAUGUCCAUAAAGGAAAAUGCAUCCAAUGGGAUAAUCGAUGAGUACAUCAUGCAAAAGAAGGAUAAUAAAGACAAUACUCAAGAAACGAGUUAUAGUCUCUAAAUGUCAAAAGCAAAACAAGAUUAAACAAACAAAAACAAAAACAGUGACUGGUCCUGUCAUCACAUCUCUGGCCACAAAAGGAACAAAAUUUGAGCGCCACUGUACCAAGGCAAGCCAAUCAUGAGUCAAUCGCCCAAAUCAAUAAGAUCAGGGACUGCUGGUGAAGGAGCGUCUACAUGCAUGGCCAGAGCUGAGAUAGGAAUAGGAAACAUAUCAGACUGAAGAUGCCCAAACGUCCCAGAAUCAACAAUGUCAUGUAUGGCAUGUUUGAAGAGCAUAGCAUCCUUGUUUCAGAUGAGAAUGUGAUCAAUGAUUAUACACUAAAGAUUCAUAUAAGUUUUGAUGUGGAAAAUGGACUAAAAGCUGCCGAGUAUAUUCAUAAUGCUAUAUCAAAGUGGUUCCCACUUCGGCCAUGGUGUUUGACCUUGAAAAUUCUUCUAUAGCAGUGAGAAUUGAAUAAGACAUAUUCUGGCAGAAUUGGUUCUUAUGUCCUCUUUGCUAUACUUCAACCAGCAGAUGACCAAUGUGGCACUCAUAACCGUAGCCAAGAACUGCCCAAUUUUACACGCUUCAGGUUGUGCAUUCUGGACCCUACACAAACUGACCCAUUAACAUGCUCGCCACCACCUACAUAUUUUCUUAAUCGUCAAACAGCAAGCAAAGCUGUCCUCAAGCCGCCGGCGGCGAAACGCCUCCGCCAUCAUCAAAGCACCAGUCCAACCAUACCCAAAUUUCUUUCUUUGUUGCUUCCUGAUGUAAAAGCUCCUCCAUCCAUGCAUCUUAUGAAGGUAACAACAUCCCAUUAUCAAUCACGACUCAAGCAAAGCCAUUCCCGUCAUAGCCUUCAUUCUCUCUGCAUUCCUCAUACCCACUCCUCUCUAAACCUUCCCAUGCAUGCCACUACUCUGUUAAUACCCACAAACCCACUGCUCAUGGCCGAUACUCCCCUCAUUACCUUCCCUCACUCAUCCAUUCUGCCAUUAAGUGCACACUUUCUUUGGUAAGGCUGCUCACCUUGUUGACAACACCAACCACCAGGGCCACUUCCAAAAGGUGUUGACUGCCAUUGGGAACUUCUGUAUAUACUCCAUUGCGUUUGGCAUAAUAGUAGAAAUAGUGGUGAUGUACCCAAUUCAGAGAUGCAAGUACAGGGAUGGGAUCAAUAAUCUUUUGGUGUUUCUCAUUGGAGGAAUACCAAUAGCCAUGCCAACAGUGUUGUCAGUGACAAUGGCCAUAGGCUCUCACCGUCUGUCAAAGCAAGGUGCUAUCACAAAGAGGAUGACAGCAAUAGAAAAGAUGGCUGGAAUGGAUGUUCUUUGCAGUGACAAGACUGGGACUCUCACCUUCAACAAGCUUAUAGUGGACAAAAGCAUGAUUGAGAUAUUUUCAAAGGACGUGGACAGUGAUGUGGUGAUUCUGCUUGCGGCUAGGGCUUCCCGGGUUGAGAAUCAGGAUGCCAUUGAUGCCUGCAUUGUGAGAAUGUUGGCUAACCCCAGUGAGACAAGAUUCAGGGAACCAGGAUAAUGUCCAGAAUGAUGUCUUAUUGCAAAAUGCCUCUGAAUUUAGUAGUCAGGUUUAUCCACACAAGGGAGGGCCAAAUCUAAAAAUAGAUUCCUGUUCUACUAAUUCAUAGGAAGAAGAACUCCUAGUGCAAAUUCAAAGUUCUGAAUUUUUAUUGCUUCCCUACAAGGAAGAAACAUCAACUGUUGUAGAGAUCACAACAGGAUAAGUUGGGCCUUCAAUAGUUUCAGGCUCCAAUGAAGAGUUAUUGGAUUUUGAUAGCUGGUUUAUAAGGCUUCUCAUUCAUAUGACCACCCCGGGGUACCUCUGAUCAGUCCUCGCCCAUCAUCAGUUUCAGUAUACCGAUGAUCUCGCAGUAUUCAUCACUCCGGCUCCGUUGGGAUUUUAGAGAAGGCAUGCAACUGGUGUUCAAGGUGCACCAAGUUCAGAAUCCCACUCUGCAUGGCCUACAUGGCCGUCUUUGGGCCUUAUGUUCUUCUGUCAUUACUUCAUCUUUGUUUUCAAAAUAACUUCCUAAGCUCCAUCUUGCCUAUGAUCUUCCAAAUUUAAUUCUCCCAAAUAAUUUCCAUUCCUCCUUUUUCAUCCUUAUCAUUUUUCUUAGGCUUCAAAAACCCGAUUUUCAAUAAAACUUGGCCACCAUUUCCUUUCCGGCGAGCCACAUUUGAAUUUUCCGUGAUUUUUAUAAAAUGUUUUAAAAUAAGUGUGAAUUUAUUUUCGCAAUUCCAAGUGAUGGAAUUUGCGAAAUUAAUUCACUCAAAAUAAAAUGGGCUUUGGUGGGGGCCCGACAUCCAAUUAAUUUCCUUUAGAAUAAAAAUGGAAUUGAAAUAAUGUCACGCAUGAUAUUGGUGCUUCUUUAUCUGGUUAGGUGAUAUGAGUGACAUACUUUAUGUUCAUUACUAUGCACUAACCCCAUUUUGUCAUAGCGCGUUGCCGUUUGCUGAUCAGGUACGCAUUCACUUCCACUUUGGUUAUUCUCUAUGUAUAUUCUGAUACUCAUAUGUGCAUGAUCGAUUCGAGUAUUCCUUGAUUUUCUCAUUGAUUGUCAUGUUAGCUUCAUUUUAUUAGUAGAGACCCGACUUUAGGGACUUAAAGGAGUGCUACGGUCUUUACCGUACCUUCCCGAUAAGUAACCUGACCUCCGAACCCGAUCCGGUUUUUCACAGACCGUCUUUUUCAAAAUAAGGAGUCACACUUAGGGUUUUUCUUUCUUAUUUUGUUUACCCUUUAAAAAUAAAACAAAAAUAAGUGGCGACUCCAAGUCAUUUUCUUAACAAAUAAAAAUCAUUCUUCAAAUUAAAUAAAAAUCGAGCUCACCAUUGAAUGGGAAAUGCAUGAGCACGAAAUGCGGGGUCCACACUUAUCAAAUUAAUUUUAAUUUAUAAAAUAUUAAAACUUUAUUAUUAUCAUUAUUAUUUAUAUUUUAGUUUUUUAAAAUAAAUUUAUAUUUUUAAUAUUUUAUAUUAAAAACAUUCAAAAUUAAAAGGAUAAAUAUAAAAAAUUUAAAAGUGAAGUCAUAGUAAUUUUUUAGAAUAGAAUUAAUGAGAUAGAUUAUGAUACAUUUAAUAUUAAAACUAUAAUUUAUGUAAUUCAAAUAUAUUUAAUAAUAUGAAAUAAAUGAUAAUACAUAUAUGAUUUUUUUAAUAUUUAUAUUUUUUAUAUUUAAUUAUCAUAUAAAUAAUAUAAAAAAGACUUAUUAAAAAAAUUAUAAUAUUAAUUUUUAUAUUUUUAUUAAUCAAUUGAAUAUAAUUUAAAAUAAAAUAAUUAAAAUUAAGUUUUUUUUUAAUGAUGAACUUGAAUAUAUAUUAUCAAAGAGCAUCAUAGUUCAGUGGUAGCCGGGAUUGAAGCAAAGUCAAGGUUCAAAUCUCCCAUAAAAGUAAAUAAUCGAUAUUUCAAACAUUAAUCAAAAUAAAGAUAGAGAAUUAAUAAUUAUUUAUAUGGAGAGAGGAAAAUUGUUCUCAGGGCCACCCACUUCUCUCACUCGGGCAUCAAGAAGCUCUCUCCUGAAGUUGCCCUCCAGACGGGAGAAUCCAAAGGCCCUAUUUUCCUCUGCCACUCUCAAUCCUCGCAGGUACUAAUCUAUUCAUGUUAUUAUUAUUAUUAUUAUUUUUCUGCAAGCCCCGUUUGAUCCCCAAGAAAAUCCAUCCCCCAUUCGAUUUCCGGGAAAAUUCAUCCUCGUUUGAUUUCCGAGAAAAUCCAUGCAAAACCCCCAAAGAAAACCAAAAAAUUUGCUUUUUCUUUGCUCCCUGUGUUUUCUGGAUCUGUUCUAGGGGUCUCUUUGCUUUUGUGCCAUUGGAUUUAAAAAUUUCACGAACCCUAAAUCCACGAUUUUUGAGCCAGGCUGAAAAACACAACCUUUGCCUGCAAAUCCACGAUUUAAGAGUUAUAUUUAGUAUUUUUGCAGUCAAUGAAUGUGCCGCCACAUGUUUGAAUCAAAAAAAAAAAUUAACUUCUGCUAAAAUUCAUCAAAUAUUGGAACUUCAAAAACCAACAACUUGUUUUUGCCAAAGCAAAGGAUUGAAUAUUUCCUUGGUGGAUUUUUGGGAACGGAUCAUGCACCCACAAGAAAUCUCCAUCAAGCUUGAAGUUUUCUUAUUCGAAGGUUGAUCCUUAGUGCAUGGGGUCAUUCAAUAAGGUUAAUAAAUUGUCUGGAGGGAGCAGUAAAUGAUAACAUAUAGCCGUGUGCUUGGAAAUAUUCGAAGUCUUCCCAAUGGGGAAGACUCUAGGAUCCAAUACAAUCCUGGUUUUCUUGAUUUAUAUCUAAUGCUUGUGAUCGUAUUAUUUGUGGCAUUGACGCCUGAAGUCUUUUGGAAGUAUACUUGGAUGUGGCAUUCAUCAGUAGUUAAAAUCAUUGUUUUCAGGGCUCCUACGCCAAGCUUCCAAGCAACAUCAAGGUGAAGAGAAAGAGCAUGAACCCAGAUCUAGCUGGAGGGAUGGCAGACAGGGCUGUGUCGUUUCUUCUUCAAAAACUUGGAAGCUUUUGCAAGUAGAGAAUGGAACUUGCAGGAGAAUAUCAGGAAUGGAGUCCGUGAGUUACAAAGGGAGCUGUGGAGAAUAGAAGCCAUGAUGAGAGAUGCUGAUGCAAGGAAAGAUAUGAUAACCGAUUCAACGUGUGGAUUCAAGAAGUUCGCACAGAAGCUUAUGCCAUUGAGGAUGUUCUUGACCUGUUCAGACUCCACUGGGAUCAAGAAUCAGUGUGGCGCCACUUGAAAAUGUGGCACUCCAUUAGCAACCUGAUACAGGAUAUUAACACAAGGCUCGCGAUCAUUAGUGCGGAAACCAACACAUACCUUAAUGUGAGAGUAGUUCCUUUGAUCCCUGGCAGGGGCAACAACACUGUGGGCAUUGACAAGCCUAAAAGGAAGCUGGUUUCUUGGGCAUUGGAGUCGAAUCAGAAACUCAAGGUUAUGUUCAUGGUGGGAAUGGCUGGCUUGGGAAAGACAACGCUUGGCCACAGCGUGUACGAGGAGGUGAAGAUGUGUGGGAAUCCAUUAGACUUGCCUUGCCAGAUGGUAACGACAAUAGAAUAAUUAUCACUACAAGAAGAGGCGAUAUAUCUAAUUCUUUCAGAGAUGAUGAUUCUAUUGAUAUCCACAAGGUUCAGCCUCUGUCACCGCAUUGGGCUGAGCAACUCUUCUAUAAGAAAGCUUUCUCAGGAGUUGACUGAUGUCCUUCAGGUUUGGAGGAAGUCUCCAAAUCCAUCUUACAGAAAUGUGAUGAUUACCACCUGAGAUUAUUGAAAUCGGUAGGGUCUUGCGGAGUAAGCCUCGUCAAACAAAAUAUGAGUGGAAAAAAUUACAUGAUAGCCUUGAGUCUGAAUUGAGAAGCGGUGGUGCCCUUUCAGAUAUUAUGAGAGUGUUUUCUGCAAGUUACAAGGAUUUACCUUACCAUCUCAAGUAUUGCUUCUUAUAUAUGAGUAUUUUUCCUGAGAAUAAUCCAGUUAAGCAAAGAAGACUGAUUUGGCUAUGGAUAGCUGAGGGAUUUGUAACAGAGGAGAGAGGCAAGACUCUUGAAAGGUGGGGGAAGAGUACCUGAAUGAGCUUAUUGGCAAGAGUCUGAUAAAGGCAAAUGAAAUGGACUUUGAUGAAAGGCCAAUAACUGUUGGAGUCCAUAGUCUCAUGCGUAGGAUAAUUCACUAGAGGAGAACUUCUGAACUGUUUGUGCAGGACCAGAAGGAAAGUUGGCUGACAAACCCCCACGCCUAUACAUCCAGAAGAGAAACUUUGAUGUGUCUCAGGACUUAACCUGUGUUCAAACUUUUUUCAGUUUCAGUACAGGUAGGGUAAACAUUGGUUCGAAUUUCAAACUAUUGAAGGUUUUGGACAUACAAAGCACUCCUUUGGGAAACUUUCCAAGUGCCAUUACAGAUCUUGUGCUCUUGAGGUACUUGAGUUUGAGGAAUACAAAUAUAAGGAGCAUCCUCAAAUCUCUCAGGAACCUACGGGAC